AAACAAAUACCCCUUCCUGCUUAAUUCAAUUAGAAUUCAUGCAAACAAAUUAAAUUCUCUCUCGCUCAAUCUAAUAUCAUUUGGAUAUAUAAUUAUUAGAAGAUAUGUGGCUAAUGGCUGUCGCUGAUACUAAGAAGGCGGAAUCUCAUGAUGACGAUCAAGAUUUGAUGAUGCGCAAGGGAGGGAUGAUUAAUGCAAGCAUGCGAGAGCAUAAGGGGAGUCUGCUGCUAUUUCCUCCUGCUAGAGGAGGCAUCAAACGCAGGAUUUUCACUCUGUUUUAUAAACAACUGAAGCUAGCUGCCCUCCAUCUCUUCCUUCGUUGAUCGUUUUCUUCUCACCACCGGCUGCUGCUGCUGCUGCUGAUGUUAUAUCUACAUUAAUCUUUCUCUCUUCUUCUUCUUCUUCUUCCUUUUUUUUUUUCUUUAUGUGUUGUAAAAUGCUCAAAAUAAUUAAUGCCAUUUCACUCAUCUGAUUAAAUUAUUGUAACUUGGAUAGUGUGUGCAUGCAUCGCACAAGUGAUGAGUGAGUUUUGUUUCAGAUGUUGUAAGCUUUUCGAAACCAUUCACCCACCUUACUGACUAAUAAAUUCAUUUAAUGAUUACUUGUUUGAUAUAAUAAAAGCAUAAAUACUACACGUAUGAAAGUUGAUCAAUGACAUCAACUUCACCUGGUUUUAGGGUUUACUCCUGAUACUUUUAAUUUUUGAUCCAUUUUCUUUUGAUAUAAUCAAUCGUCAGCGCGUAGAUGUUUUUCUGGUCUUAUAUACGGGGGAUUCUAAAUUCUCUAAUGCUCGAAUGGGUUCACCAUUUCCUGAAUGAAGGUUCUCAUUAUUAUUAUUAUUGACACGCUCUUCUCCUGUUGGUGCAAAGCAGCAAAGUAAGCGUACUACACAGCAUUAAUUGUUGCUAAGCACAGAAAAUUAAAGAGAAUAUGUGUAUGUAACUCCUCUUUCUAUCCGAUAAACGCAAUUAUUUUCUUAAAUUACUUAUUUUUCGAGACUAAUUAGGUCCAGUUAUGGUGCAAUUGUGCUACCAUACUAUAGUUACUUUCAGUCAUUAGAUCCAUCUAUGACGAGAGCAAAUGUCUGAUCCUCACUAAUUAGUUAAUAAAUUAAUUUAUGUAUUAUAAUCUAAAAAUUCAUAUGCGUGUUCGUUCAUAUAUGCAUUUGUUUUCUUAAUUUUAUAAUUUUCGUUUUCUUUUUCUCUUUUUUUUUUUUGUUUUGGGGGGGGGGGGGGGGGGGGUUGGGGGAUAUUUUACUGAUCUAGUAACGUGUAUCGAUCACUGGACGUCAGGUGAUCAGGCUAGGGAAAAAAGAAUUAAUAGAAAUAAUCCCGUUCAAUUUGUAUUUAAUAACUUUCUUUUAAAAUCACUUCACAAAUAUGCACAAAGCCACAAAUAAAUCCCGGAGAAGAAGUGACAUUUCAUAAAACUUUUAUCAAAAUAUAUUUACUAUAGGAUUCCGCUAGGUGCAACUGUGGCACGGUGCCACUGUUGCACCGUAGCCUGAUCCUUUACUAUAUCAUGCUUCUGUACUAAUUAUUAGUAGGAAAGUUUAUACACACACAUAUAAUAAUAAUUAUUAUUAAUAUUAUUAUGGUUAAUUUCAGACUACUCCUCGUUAAUUGAGUAUUUUUAAAUCGGCCUUUCUACUUUAGAAAAUCUUAAUUUUUCUCUAUUUUGAAUAAAAAAAAUCAUCAACACACCUCAUCUCUCCUUUUAUCUUUUGAUUAAAUAUAAGGAUAAUUUAAAGUUUUUAAAAGUAAGAGAAAUAAUUUUAAAAUAAUCAAUUCACGCGAAAAAUAAUUCAGAAUUUACCUUUUUACUGUUAACGUCAUGAAUCCAACACAAGUAAUGGUAAACGUUAUAUAUAUAUAUAAUCAUACUGUUUUGAUUUUAUACAAUGCUAAUUAUCUAUUUCCUUUUGAUUUCACAAAAAUGAGUAUGCCAGUUUUUUUUUAAAAAAAAAUCAAUUUUCAAUUUUCAAUGUGUGUGUGCAUAAAACAUAUGAAUAGAAUUCCUUGCAGAUUGUUCAUUUGCUCAUUUUACUUUUGUUAAUAACCAACCAAAUGCUUGAGCAUUAUAACGAUAUUAUUACCUUCCCAUACUAUCUGGCUCGAAAUUUAAUUCGAACCCGUUAUGUGAUGAAACGCUUGAAGUCUGAUCAUAGGGGAAAAAAAAAAAAAUCAAUCUUUAUUUUCUUUUUCCGGGACAAAAACCACUGACAAACAAGUAGAACAGUAUUGUACAGAAAUUUAAUGAAAGAUAUAUACGAAAGUACAUUUUAAAGAUUUUACUAGCUUAGGCAUAAGCAACCCAGAAUAAGUCCAAAACCCAUAUCUAUUUGUAACCUCAUGAACAUAAUCUGAUGCAAGAAACCUGAACAAACAAUUCACAAAAGCUGUACCACAAUAAGUAUGCUGCUCAAGUCACUCAAAAUGACCUAUUGUUGGAUUUAGAUGUCGACGAGGAUGAUGUUUUGGCUCUUGCAAAAUCAACAAGAUCCUUGAAGAGAACAUCUUCAGGCUUUUCUUCUUUCUUAGGGUUCGGCGAAUUAAGAGCAAGAUUCUGAGUCUGUCCCACUAAGCUGUCAUAAGAGGCGGCACUUCCUCUGGCAGAGCUGCCUGGAAAAGCAUGAUUUUGCUCAAAGAAUUGCUGCCGUUGAUUGUACCUAGAAGGAGGAGGUGGAAGGCUUCCAGCAGGCUGAGCAUCCCAAGGAGCAGGAGGCAGCUGCUCUGCAGAUUUGCUCAAGGGAGGUGGUUCAUCAUAUAAAGGCCCUGAAGAGAACGGAGGUGGUGAAGCAGAGUUACCAACUGGAAUUGAGGAAGUUCUUGUUGGGGUCAAUGGUGGGGAGGAAGUUUUAUAAGAAUGAGUUGGAGCAACAAAAGGUGUGGGUUCAGAUGUUUCAGGAUAUGCGUCAGAUUUGUAAGUGUCGCCACUGAGAUAAUCAAUUGGGCCAGAACUGGUAAGAACUGGCUUUUUCGAUGAGGGUGGUGGAGGAAGAAGGGGGUUGACUGGUACUAGAUUGGUCCUAGCGCUGAUGGGCUUCCUGCCCAGCCCUUGUGAAUUAUCUCUUGAUGAUCUGUAGUAAUUUGAAUUUACAAACUAGUCAGAUGUGUUUCUGAAACUACAUGAGCUUAAUGAAAGCAGAUAAUAGCAAUGGUGAAACAGAAAGUGUUUAUUUACAGAAACAAGAAAAAAAAAAAAGGCACAAAAACAAAAAACAAAGAAACAAACAUAAUCAGGAAAGUUACCUGUGGGCCAACUGGGCAAAAUCAUCUUCCGAUUCAUCUUCCUCAUGGUCAACAUUAACAAAUGGCACAACAGGAGUCUCUGUUGAUUGUGCUGUAGGAGUUCCUUUCGCAAUGUCAUCGUGCUGACGAAGUACACGCUGCAAGUUAUCAUUCAAUGCCAAUCCCUGGCAUAGAAGUUCCUCAUCUCUGAAAGCAAGGCAACUGCUUGUCAGCACUAUCGAUAAUAAAAGAAGAUAAAACAAAAACUCAUGUGGAUCAAACUCUUACGCAGUAUUAUUCACAAGAAGCAUGACACGUUUUUGGUACGAACGGCAUUGAUCAACAAGGUCAACAAUUAUUUCUUGCUUCACAGCCUGCCAAAAGAAAAACCAAGAUUUAUAAGAACUUCAGGAUAAUUGAUCAAUCAGCAUGCCCGUUUUUCCUUCUAGCCAAGAGAAUCAACUAAGAAGCCUUAUUUCACCACUAAUUAGCAUAAAAAACUGGGAACGUCAGUGACACCAUUACUAAUUGGGUUCUGCUGAAAGAAGCUUUAUUACCUACUACUAUCAAGCAAAACUGUAUUAAGACUUAAAAGGAACAAAACCGAUACAGUCAAGAGUAAAUAAUACAUAUUCUAUGCAUGUCACCAUUUAUGAUGAUCAGAUUGAUCCUUAGGACUCCGAUCCUUAUCUUUUCCACGAAAAACAAUGGGUCCGUUAAAUAAAGAUAAGGACAAAAAAUGCACUGAGACAGAAAGAAAAUUAUACCUCAGGAUUCUUGGAAUCCAAGGCACCAAGCAUUUCCAUUAACACAUCAGCUAGUCCCUUAGCCCUUUGAAUCUCUGCCAGGCUGAAAAUAACAAAAUUUUCAAAUAUUAAGGAAACUAGCAUGGACACAUUCCCAUUGUAAUAUCAAGUUACACACCAUUAAAUCUGUAGAAGUAUGUGUGCAAAUGUGCAUUAAGGAAAAUAACAAAUUUUUCAUACAUGAGGGAAACUGACAUAGACUCAUUCCCAUUGUAAUGGCACAGUUACACACCAUCUAAUCUGUAGGCAUAUGUGUGUAAAUGUGCCUUUUCAAACAAAUUGGAAACACAGGAGGCUGCAAGACAGGCAUAAGAUAACAAGGUAUAGGUGCGAGAUCUAUUGGGCAUAUUACUGGCUCUUCCUACAUCCUUAUUCAAAAAAAGAGAUACUUAGUGGUUAAUUUCCCAAGGGUUGAGUGUGUCCAACGCAUCCAUAUGACAAGGGAAAAUGGAAAGUAAAAUGUCACAGCAAAUACAGGCAUCUAAACCUUUGAAUACAAUUUUGAAACAAGUCAGAGCACAACAUACAUAUGAAGAAAUAGAAUAGAUCAUAUUUCAGAUGAUACCUGAGGCCAGAAGCAUCUGACUGCAGGGAGGCCUGUAUAGCAGCAUCAUCAAAUGCAGAAGUAGGUUCUACUAUUGGCUGGGUUUGUGGUGGGGUGAAGAAUGGUACACUAUUCUCAGCCCGAGGUGGGAAUUCAACUCCAGCAGACUGUCAAUUAUCGAAUAAAGAUUUAGUUUAACAAAAAAGAUGUUCAAAGAUUCGUAUGUUACCAGAAAAUAGCAAGCAAAAUUCAGAGAAACAACAAUAACAUUGGGAUCGAAAGGAAUUAAAAAAACACUUUUCUUAUGACAGAAAGCAAGAGGCAAAAUGCCAAUCCCUAUCCCCAAGAUAGAACUACCCAAUUGUCUGAAAUCAACUAGACCGACAGGGUUUUUGUACAGACAAUACUAUUACUCAUUAUAUCCAUUAUCAGACCAUGUCCCUACAUCAUAGGUCGAAGCAGGAAGAAUGUAGUGCCACAAUUAAGAAACUAGCAGAUAUCUGUUGUGAACUCAAAUCCAUAUAAGCCCUUAUAGCACCGGUGGGAAAAGCAUAGAUAUAUAUCAGCUGCAACAUGACAAAUAAAGACAAAAUAUAACAAUUACCCUCAGUUCAUUAUAUGCAGCAUAAUAUUGGGGAUACUUUCCCCUCGGCCCCCCAAAAGCUUCUUGCCACGUAUCAAUUAAAAUAAGAAUCUUUUCCCUCACAUUCAAGUCUGGCUGCAAAAUUGAAUCAAGAAAAUAUGGUAUAGACCAAGUUAGUGUGGGAUGUAACAGAAGAUGAGAAGUCCAACAGGAUAGCUAAGAAAUUAAUCACCUUCUUCUUUACUAUUUUAACCAUUUCAUGUAAGAUAUCACGCUCAAUGAUCUGCUGAAAUACACUGUCACCACAAUUUUUGCUGAUGGUCUCCAAUGCCUAUAUUGAAAAACCCGUACAAACAAAUUCACAUUAAUCAGAAGUCGCUUCUAUGCAAUUGUGCACAUAGCAAUGAAACAAUUACAUCAUUGUGCAGACAUGACAAACACUUUUCAACACCAAUAAUUCUGGCACUGUUAGAAACUGUGUUUUAAUAAAUUGAGAGGUAUAUGUUGUAAAAUACGAAAACAACUAAGUUGUAAUGGUUAUACAUUGAAUAAAUAAUUAUUAAACUAAACAAACAAAGAAGUAAUCCAGAGGAAGUUACUCACAAAUAAAGCCAGCAGUUGCACUUUAGGAUUUUUACUGCCCAGGCGCUUCUUCAGUAUCUUCAAUGCAUCUUUGGCUUGCCUACAUCACCAUCCCGAAAGGAAAAGGAAUUCAAUGUGUAUUUAUGCAACUAAAAUUCGACAAUUUGUAAAUCCACCUUGCAUCAAAGAAUGCAAAAUAACUGGCUGUUUUAAGCUAUGAAAAGGCCAAAAUGCGCAAUGGAGUGGUGGUGAAAGUAUCUGGCGAACAGACCAGUGAAUACUUGACAAUGCAAUUACAACUCCUCAAAGUGGGGAAGUCAUGAACAAGUUCAAAUUAUGACUGCACCAAUCAGCUAUAAUUCAAAUAAAGACACUAGGUAUACCGACCGUCGUUUCACAACCCUUGGCAUAUGGAAGAUUAUUGCACGCAAACAUCAGUAAAUGCAAGGAACUUACAAAUUCUGGUUUACCCUACAAGAUAAACAAAUAAAAAUCAAACAACAACAAUCCUAACAAGCAUAAAAGUUCCUCUAUAAGGACCAAGCCCAGCAUUUUAUUAACUGCUCAACCAGCCAUGUCUUAACAGAAUGGCAAAGAAUAACAAAACAGGGGACUUCAACUAAACUGAAUAAUCAGUAAAUGCACCGCCAAACAUAAGAGUUCUUGCUCAGCAAUGGCCUAUAGAAGCUUCAUUUGAGUGGUUUACAUUAUGAAAACCAUACAUCAGAGCUCUUCUUUGACAACCAAGAUCUAAUUUUCAUUGACUGCUCUACCAGCCAUAAUUGGCAACAUCAAAGAAAAAUAGUACCAGAUGAUCUCAAAUAGCCUCUAGAUAUGAGUAAAUGUACCAUAAAACAACACUUUUCUUAACCAACUGCAACCCACAGUUAGCUUCAUUUGAGAGGUUUACGCAGCAAGGGCCAUGCAUGGGAAUUUUCUGAAGUGAACACGCCUUUUAACCCAAAACUCACUAUAGGACAAGACAACUCAUCUCACCAAGCUUAGAUGAGGUUCCAUUAAACUUAGAAGCAUACACUGAUGCACAAGCAUCUCAGAUGAUUCUUUGUUCUCCCUAGCAUAAAAAUAUGCAUGAAAUGAAUAAGCGUAAGUUAAAUGCGAACGUCACACAUCAAUAUUAUCCAUCCAAGUAGAAAAUUACUACUAGUGCUAAAUGCAAAAUCAUUUCAAAAAGAUAUACCUAGUAAAUUCAAUUCAUUAAAUUCUCAAAUUAGAAAAUCAAAUCACCAACACCCACUAAAAACUUAGUGAAGACGGUCAAACAGAAACACAGAAAUGGCAAAAGUCAAAAGAUUGAUACCCAGGAUCCAUGUUGAUGACAUCGCAUAACUCAAUGUUUAUUGCCCAGUCUGGACCAAUCAGCAUGUCAUUAGUCGCCCUCUCAGCACACGCUGCCGCAUUAUUAGCCAUAAUUGUACUGAACCUUAAGUCCCUGAUCACUGUGUCCUAAUAGCAAAACCGAUACACAAAAAACAAUCAAUCAUAAAUUUCAAUCCUUGACAUCAAAUUAAAAGUAAAAGAUUAUAACUUGUUAUCAUGCAAACACGAAAUCAGAUCAAUAAAUCAUCAAAAAGAAACUAAAAAUCGAAGCUUCCAAUCAAACAGAGCUUCGUAUACAAAAAGACUAAAUGGGUUGGGAUCUAGAGAGAAGCUUACCAGUGAAGAACACCCAGAAGGAGAAUCAGAAAAAGAUAAAAUCACGUAAUGGGUAUAUGCAGAAAAAGGGGAUUAUAAGAGAGAGAAUUUAGGGAUUGAUUGAAUUGUGCUUUUUUGUUUGGUGUUAUUUUGCUUUGCGUCAGCCGUUGCUGUUUCAGAGUCAGAACUUAAAGUUUCUGUUCUAUUCUCAGAGGCUUGAUUAAGAUUAAGAGAAUUAUUAUUCAAUUAAUUAAUCCCGUUUUUGUUUGGUCUAAUGUUAAACGUCACAGCCUGUGAUGCACUGAUGCUACUAUUGGGUGACAGGCAAAUUUUUUUGUUUUAAUGAUUUUUCUCUUCUGAAGUUUACAUAUAUAAUACAAGGGUCGUAUAAAGGAAAAAAAAAAAUCAAAUGAAUGAAAUUAAUUUUUUUUUAAUUUAAAAUAGUUUGUACACGAUUCAUAUGUUUAACUUGCUAGCAUUAACUGGUUCAAUUUGUUAAUUAAUUUUUUUUUAGCACAAAAAGUUAAAGAUUUAAGAUCUUAUGGAGGUCUUUUUAAGAAUUAAUCAAUAAUUUUAUAUAAUGUAUAUUUAUGUGAGCCUGGAAAUUCAUGAUUAUUUUAUAUAAAUAAAUUAUUAAUAUUAAUAAGAUUAUGUUGACAUUAUUUAUGCAACAAUAAAUAAUAUUGUCGCGUAAUAUUGUCUGAUUAGCUCAAAAAUUUUACACUAUUAAUAAAAAAUAAUGUGUGAAGUUGCUCAAUAAAUUAUAGCAUUCAAGCUAAAUAACUCUAUAAAAAAAAAAGACCAAAGUUUAGUUAUAUAUUUAAAGUAUUGAUGUUCAAAUCCAGUAAAAGAAUAUGUAUCUUUAAAUAAGUAAUUACAAAUCAAAUAUUUAACAAUAGUUAUUUUUUCGUAAAUUAAAUCAAAACUGACAAAACAAAUGAAGUCUUGCUCGGCUUCAUUUUCAUCUGUCUGUGACCAAAAGCAAAUAACAAACAGGGCUCCCUUUCUUGGGCUUAAACAAAUUUUCCGUAUUAGUUUAUUUUUUCUAUUAAUUUUGAUGUCGUCAUUAAAUAAUAUUAUUUUGGCUGUUGCUAAUUUUGAAUUUUCUGUAGAUGAACGGAGAAUUUGAUCUCAGCCGUAGACGCGUUUCUUUAGAGCCGACCGGGCCCACGUUAGGGUGUCUGAACGGGCAGAGCUGGGCAUCCGAACCUCAUGAUAAAAGUCAAUGCGCCAAUGUGGGACCCGCAUGAUUGACCGGGUCCGAACUGGUAAAACAACAGCGGCCCGAGGGGUCAAGGUCCAAGUAGCCGGUUUGGUCAAAAUGCUUUGCAUCACGCCGUAGCCCAUCAUCCAGAAGCAUUUUCUUUUUUCCAUAGCUGAUCCCAGGGGUCAAGAACGUUCUUGGGCUUUUCUUUUCUUUUUUUUUGGGUGUAUUGUUAAUACAAGAAUGUUUUUGGCCUUGGGAUACCUUAAAGUUAUAAAAAUGUUCGAGAAACCCCAGUUUAAUUAUAUAUAUGAUGUACUUUGGGUGUCAGCACUGAGAAUAAGCCGAAGCUUACUUUAAAAAUUUGAAAAAGAAUUAAUGCCUGCAAAGAGAUGUCAUCGAUAGAAUAAUAAAUAUAAAGAUCCCUCUAAAUUACAUGCAUGUACCUUACAACCCUCUCACAUGAAUAGUGAGUGGACCCACAUCAUUCACUAUUCAUGUGAGAGGGGUGUAAGGUACAUGCAUGUAACUUAGCAUUGGCCUAAAUAUAAAUUUUUACAAUUCACUGAUAACCAUUUGUUUACCUUUAUUAUUGUCUUUAUGAUUAAAAUUGAUAGUUUAAAUGACCUGAACCUGAAUCAUGGCAGAUUUUUACAGCAGACUUCUUAUGCGGCUAAUUUAUAAAUUUGUAUCGUAUUAUUUUAUUUAAAAAAUGAAAGUUUGUAUUUAAUUUGAAUUAUUUUAAAAAAAAACAUAUUCUUAUCUGGCCCAUUUUCAAGGAAAAGUUUUGAAGUGGGAUGGACUGUUGGCGGGGGGUUAAAGAGGAAUUUGUAGGGGUGACAAUUGUCCUAGGGGAUGGAUGUUUGUCAAGUACAUGGACCACUCUUUCUGGAGAUAAAGGAAGUAGAUGGAUGGGCCACGAUGUUGAAAUUCCAAUUUCAUAUUUACACAAGCAUGCGGCAUACAUACAUUUAAGUUAAGAUUAAAAACUCUGCAUGAUUUUGUAGAUUAUUGACGUAUAAGAAUUGAAUGUGCCAUGUAUGUUGAAUAAUUAUGCGCAUUUUAUAGAUGACAAAUAAGAUGACAGUGUUAAUAAUGAAAGUCAUCGUGAUGAAAUUAGCCUCUGUUUGUAAAAUUAUAAUUCCUGAACAAAGAGCUGUGAGACUUCUGUCAUUUACAAUAUCUGACGGACAUUGACUAAUUAAUGGCUUUAGGCCUUAAAUUUCGAGGCCAUCCAUUCUUAAUAUGCUAAAUAUCAGGCUGUUUUUGAAUGGCACCUUCGUCCCAAAAAUGAUUACCUGUCUCUCUCUCUCUCUCUUUAUAUACGACAACGAAAGCGGCCACUUGAUCUGGUUGGUGAUGAAAUUCUAUUAUCUUUGUUCUUCCUUCUUCUUCUUCUUCUUCUUCUUCUUCUUCUUUCUAUUACCUAAUCUAAUAACGAGAUGUUUGCUUUUAUAAUGGCAAGGACAAGGUAGAGGUGGAGGUGUGAAAUGCAGGCCUCGAAGCUUUAAUUUCCUCUGGCCAAGGUGGUCGCUUCAAAAUUGAUGAGUGGAGCGAUGGAGGUCUCUACCUUGGGGUAAUUUUUUACCAGUCUGGAGAUUUCUAAUUGUUGAUUUCUUUUUGUGUUCAUCUUGCCAUCGUUGGGCUAUGAGAACAAGGCUUAUAUUUGUACAGCCGGGCAGUUGUUGUAAUAUAUAUAUAUAUAUCUUUAUUUCACUGGUGAAAUUUGUACUUCUAGAACCCACUACACUGGUGACUGACGGAUGUGUUGUCUCAGUGAGGUGAUGCGCGAGGAGUAAGCAAGCAAGCGUCUUUUAAAGUUAAUUAUUGAAUUUAUCUCUUUAUCACUUGGAGGUGACUCAUGUUUGUUGAGAAUCAGCCUGGGCUAUGCUUCGUACAGCUUGAGAAUACUCUGAGGCUGAUAUUCGAGCUGGCAUGGAAUCCGAUUAGGAUCCCGUAUGGCAUUAUUUAAAUGCACCGGUAAGGAUAUGGCUUAGAGAGGUUGCCACCUGCGUGUUUAUGAUCCCGAGAGCAAUGAGGCCAGCUUAUCUACCGAAUGGCUUGGACACGAAUGGAGAUCGCAGUUACGGAUCUGAUUCAGUUGGCAGCUCGAUCCUGGAGUUUACCACGGGUGUUGACUCCAUUACGAAUAUUGGAACUGGUGGCCUUAGCAACCGAGACAGCGAGGGGAGGGCCAAACGUUAACACGGUUUCUGCCAAUGAGUCGUUCACAAGCCAAGCCUAAACCAUAUUUUGCUCUCUUUUUAGUUCCCUUUCCACUUUUUUGGCUCCUUACUGCUCUUUAAUUUUUUUUUUUUCCCCAUUUCAUUAAUAUCUGGGUAGCUGCCCUUUAUACAUCUGUUCUGAUGUAUUGUGGUAGUGUAUAUCAAAUCGUCAAUUCAUCGAUCACCCGAGCCGAAAAGAUUAUGGUUCCUAUCAUUCACAAUCCCUGCGAUUCUUUUCUUCAUAUUUUUCUCUCCAUAUGAUUUAUUUAGUUUACUUAUCUUAGUCGAUAACACGAGUCCCGUAAAACUACUCCAGUGCGCUAUUAUAACAAAAUGACUAGAAGCUAAUCUGUGUGAGAUUUGAGGCACGAAGCAAAUAUUGUAGAGCACUGAUAUUUGAAAAAUCAAACCCGAUGGUGAUAAAACAACUAUAAAAUCAUAUGGUUUUAACUUGAUUGGUUGACGAGAGCACAGUUGAGCAAUGUGGUUGCCUGGAAUUAAAUCACCUUGUUGGUGGUGACAGGGCAUUGACUUGACUCUGUAUCCGACUUUCGUAGUCCAAAGGAAUUAAGAAGUACACAUAAUACAGCCAUACAAUGAACCGGAAAGCCAUUUUCCCAUCAAUUCUGGAAGAAAUGUUGCUAGGUUUUGGGUGGGUGCUGAGAGACCUCCAACUAACCAAAAAACUUGACUUAGCGUGAAAAGAAAAUCAAAGUAGCUACGGUGGACGACUUUUCUUUGCUUACCAUUACCACGUCUCGGGUGAGGUAUUACCGUUCAGUCCAUGCCCUUAGAUAAUUCUGGGGUAUCGUUGCAAGUGCUGGGGGUGCUCAAAGAUUAAACAAUCAAAAUAUGCAAGUGUGAAUUAGAGAUUCUUCAUAAGAUUAGCUAGGUAAGUUCACAUGAUUGGACAUACAAAUUGGAAAGCAAUCAAAACCAAAUCUCCCAUUGUUGUAAGUACUAAAUUUAUUUUUCCAAUAAUAGUUUCUUCUUUUUUUUUUAAAUUAAGAGACCAAUAAUAGGCUUAAAUACUAGAAGAUAAAGAAAAUUUGGUAGUCGGCCCACAAGGAAAACCAAAACUGAAACCGCUCCAGGAAAAUUUGAUAAACAAAAAAAAAAAAAAAAAAAAAAAAGUAGAUUAAUCUUAUGUGGCUAUCUAGAAUCGCUCUGGUAGCUUUUUUUUUUUUUUUUUUUUUGAAUUUUGAUAGUCUGAAUUUGGAUAUAAUAAAAUAAGCUAGAAUGCAUCUAUCUGAAUGACAUUUUUUUAAUAUCUAAAUAUAAAUGUUAAGUUGCUUGUUUUUUAAAAAGAAAACAUAUGAAAUUAUGAUAUUUCGACUAUUUAACCUCAUAAAUAUUAAAAAUAUUUAUAUUUAUUUGUUAAACACAUUACAAGUUAUAAAUAAAUUAUAUGAUUAGUUAAAAUUUUUGAUAAUGUGUACCUUAACAAAGCAUGAAAAAUAAAAAAAAUAUUUAACACAUGUAUUUUUUGACAUUAAUAUAUGAUACUUAUAAUAUAUUUUUUAGUAUAUUAUAUGAUAUAUUUUCUAGUUAAUUACGCAAGCCAACCAAGAAUUGUUUAAUCAUUUGAAUUAAAAUUAAUAUAUAUAAAAUAAUAUUUAAAAUAUAUUGGAAAACUUGUAACUAUAAACACAAAUAAGUUGACCAAUUAUAAAACAUACUCACCUAAAGUUUUAUUAAGUUUAAAAUUCUCAUUAACAAUAAAUAAAUAAAAAAGAUAGUUGAAUAUGUAAAGAAAAAAAAUGAAUAAAUAAAAAAUAAUAAGAGGAUAAUUUUUUAGUAAGAAAUAAAUAUAUUUAAUAGGGUAUUAAUGAGAGAGAAUAUUAAAUUUUCAUUCACAUGUUUGGCUAUUUAGAUAAAGUCAGAAUAUUUAACUUUUUUUCAUUAAGACAUUAACAUAAGUCAUAGAAAACAAACAAAUUUAAAACUCUAAUUCUGUGAAAGUAGUUAAAAUUAUACUUUAGAAAAAAGAAAAAGCAAUCCCUUAAUCUUCACAUGAAACUUUUUGAAAAAAAAAAAGAUAAUGAACCUUUAUAAAGUGGUUGACCUCCAGCUAUAUAAUAAAAAUGAGAUGAUGAGAUAUAUAACAAUUUUGGAAAAGACAAAAUUUUCAAUUUAAAAUUAAAGGUUUAGGACAGAUUUACGAUGUUUUAAAUAAAUAUUUAUAGUUAUAAAUUAUUAAUUUAUCAUACCGUAAUUCUUUCCCAAAUUUUAAUUCUAAAUACGAAGGUUUGCUCCAUAAUAACAACAACAGCAAUAACAAUCGUUUCCCGGCUCUAACAAACUGUAAUUAAUUAUUAAUUGUGAUUAUAUUUAUACCAGGUGCAUUCGUUAAUAACUUAAAAUUAUAGAACAAUAAUUCUCCUCCAAAUGCGUGACAGCCGACAUGCUUAUACAUAUAUUUUUUCUGAUGGACGACUUCUCGAAGGUCAUCAUUCAAAUGCUGUCGUAAUUGCUGAACACAUCUACCAUUUAUUUAUUUAUUUAUUUUUUUUUAAACAAAAAAAAAAAUAUCAAUCUUUUCAUUUAAUUCACGCUGCUAAAAAUUGCAUUAUUGUAUUUGUCACUUGGCUUAGAAGGCUGGCAUGUCACAGUCAAUUAUGCUAAACGUGUCUAAAGUUUUAUCCCAAACUGUAAAUCACGAGUGGAUGACUAAAGAUGUGAUGUUACUUAUAUUCAUCAACGUCCGUACAUCAUUAAGAAAUUUCUCUUAUGAAAAAGGUGGAUCUAAUUUCAUGGUCAUGUAUGUAGAUGUAGGUCACAAAACUACUGCUUAAAAUUUUAUUCUAAUUUUUUUAAUAUUAUUAUAUAAGACUUACUGAUAUUACAUCAAAUAUUACAAUUAAUAUUUACAAACAAAUUUUACAAUUGGCACCUUCUUCGUGGUAUGUACUCCUCUGAAGUGCUGCCCAAAUUCUUUAAACCCUCUCAAAUAUUCGAGAGUUAUCUACUCUACUCAUAUUUCAUAAGGGAUAGACUGACUCCACUCAAUUAUUUAAUAAUUGAGGGAGAAUUGUAAAUAACCCCUAUAAAUACUUUUAUGGAGGCUCGAACCCUUACACUCAACAUUGUAAGUGCAAGAGUUCUCUCAUUAGACCAAAGGUUCAUUGGUAAAUUUUAUUCCAAUUUAAUGGUCAGUUGGAUCCCCCAUAUACAUCAACUUACGUAGUCUCAAAUUUACUCUAGAUGUUCCAUCUUAAACGAUUGUGAUAUAUAAUCUGUUGUUUACCAAACCCGUUAUAUAUAACUCAUAUAAAAUUCAGUAUAAUUAAACCUUCAAAAAAAAUGAAAAUUAGUUAAGUUUGGUGGAAAUAUCAAACCAUGAAAUCAGCCAAUAAGUCCAUAUGAUAUCUACGGAGUCGCAAUCAUAAUUUCGGUCAUAUUCCUCUCCGAGUUUAUAUUUUCGGCUUUAUCUUAUUUCACACGUAAUCAACUAUUAAGACGGUAUUUAUUUUCUUUUCAAAUUGUAAUCCCAACAAAGUGUGAAAAUUGAGAAGACAACAACCCUGUUCGUGUUUACUGAACCUGAAUUGAGAAUAAAAUGAAAUUUCUUUUUCUACCCUCUGGCUUUUAUUUUAUGUACAAAAAAAAAACCACUCAUUAAAAAAAAAAAAAGUUCAGAACUCAAAUUUAAUCAUCAAAUAAUUAACAAUUUAUUCUUAUUUUAAUCAUGAGUUUCGCUAGGCUGACAAUUAACAUUGCUUCUCUUUCACUAAAACAAUUCUUCAGUUGAUCCAUCUUCAGCACUGAAAAAACAAUACUCAUGUCUGGCUACAUAAAUGGUUAAAAAAGUACAUAAUUAAAACCUCUCCAUAAAAAUUAAAACCAAAAUUAAGGACUCUCCAGAACACCGAUUUACGGAUACAAAUGCUAAGCAGGAAUAUCUCUAUGAUAUCUCUAGUAUAUUCUAUUAUAUUUAUAAAGAUUUUUUUUUUCUUUUUUAUUGCAAAAGUAAUUACAAAACGAUUUUACCAAGCUCAGAACAAGGCCUCAGCCCUCGGCAGCAAGUUUUAUUUCACAUUUUUGCGUUUCUUUUUGCGCAUGAAAGAGAAGGACAAGCAGCCACCACUCUCCUGCCUGCAAUAAUAAAAAAAAAAAUUAACAUAUCAUUACUUGCAAAAAAAAAAAAAAAAAGAAAUUGCAAUUUUUACAUAUGAAAUUUUCCAAAAAUAUGUGCAAAUUUAGAAGCAUAUUGGAGGAAUUUGUUAACGAUGUUAAACAAGACUCCCCUGUUUCAUAUGAGAACAAAUUAAUUAAUUAACAAUUAACUGGUAAGUUGUUAUUCAAUACUCCAAAUCUAAAUAUAUCGGAUAUAAUUGGUAACUGGUGAGCAAAAUCAAGAAAAAAGUUAUAAACAUGGAUAUGUCUGUACCUGCUGCUGUUUCUGCUAAGGCUGCUGCUACUAUUGCUGCUAAGGCUGCUCUUGCCACUUCCAUGAUUGCUACUAGAUCCGCUGCUUCGAUCACUCUCACUUUGCUCAAAUCUCUUCUUCCACCACUCUUUAUCAUCUACCGCAGCUCUAUGAUCAGAUCCCUCAACCACUGGAGGCCUUGGAGCUACCUUAAAGCUAUAAGCCCCCAUUUCACUCUUCUUCUUGUUCUUCUUAUUACUCUUGGUUCCAAAAGCCAAAGGAAACACCAUCUUCAGCAAAAACCCUUCUUUAUUCUUAUUGUCACUCACACUCCCAUUCCUCUUCUUCACAAUCUCCAUCUUCUUGAUCUUAUCAUUUUUCUUUUUCUUCUUCGAAUUCACUUCUUCGUGUUCUUCUACCUGCUGUUGUUCUUGUUUAACUUCAACAACCGGCUGCCGCUCAACAAGAUCUUUCAAAGAAAGCUCGUAACAGGACUCGGGCAUUUUACUAACCAUUUCCAUGAGCUCCCUCUGCCCUCUAGCAAUGGCCUGAGCUUUAGACGCCGGGGACAUGUUCCGAUAAUUCUUCCGAUGGUGGGACGGCGGGAGACUUGCACUAGGGCCCCACACAGGGGGCGGGGGAGUGCUGAACCCAAACUCAGCUGGCUCUUCAUCACCCUCAUCACCACCACCACCAUCAUCAUCAUCGCGCGGCUGAUGAUCUAUGUCAAUAAGCGGGCCGCUCCAGCUUUGUCUGAAUCUAGCAUAAUUCUCAGCUGACUUUCUGACGCGGUUACCGUAAUCCCUGAUGUCAUCGUAACUGACAUGACUGUCGCAGCUCAUACGGCCUGGUUGGUAGAUUUGAAUUUGAUCCUCUGACGACUGGAAAUUCAUUAGGUGCCGCUGCUUGUAAUUGUGGGCUGCUGAUGCUGUCGUUCUUUCCGAAUCAAACAUGAUUUUUUUUUUCCCCUUCUUUUCCUUUUGGGUUUUAAGACAAAGAGGGAGUUGUUGUCGUUUCAGGUUGUGGGGAUCGUGAAUUGUGAUUGUGGUUUGCUUGGAGUUUGGUGCACGGAUGCUAAUGUUAUCCCCCACCGCUCUUACUCAUGAGGAAUCUGUUAUUUAUUUUUUCGUAUUUAUUCAAAAACUGGGGUAGCAAAUUAACUUGUGGAUUCCUGCGUUUUAGUAAAAUUAAAAGUAAUCACAUAAUUUAUAUUAUUUCUCAAUUGGGUCCGUAGAUUAGAGCGUCCUUUCUGAGUUGACUAUGUACGAGGACUAUUUUGCUGCUGCGUUUUAGGCAUUGUAAAACAUCCCAAAAGGCUCCAUUAAAUCUUAAGAAACUGCUCUACAAGCCAAUAGUCUAGGGUUUCUUCUAGAAAGACUAUCAUUAUUAAUUUUAAUCCAAGAUAAAUAUAAAUAAUGUCAAAAGACAGUCUUAAAUUCUAACAAUUGGUGUUUUUCGACUAACAUAUAAAUGAGAGAAAAAGGUCAAUAGAUAAUUAUAGUUGAAGAAUAGAAUCAAGGCAUGACAACCUCGAAAAAAAUAAAAUAACUAAAAGUCAAAUAUUACACUUGCUAUAAAGGAUUUCAUUCAAAACAUCAUUUGUUUUGUAUUUUUCUAAAUAUUUGAUUUUAUAUUACAAUAUUAUAUGAAUUCAUUGAAACUUUUUUUUUUUAAAUAAGAAAAUAUUUAUUUGGUACAUAUAAAGAAAAGUUUGUCUGCCUUAUUAAAAAUGUAAAAAAGAUAUAACUGUAAUAUUGUAUACUUAAAUCGCGAUUUAAUCUCAACAUAGGGACUCAGAUGUUAUUAAGAGUGUGAAAGAAAUGAUUUCCAAUAACGAUACGCAUACACAUACAUGGGGGGAUGUGAUAGUGCGUGGUGGGGAGGUUAAUGUCAUAAAAAGUCAAGGGGUUCUAGAUGGAGAGCCAGGUUGAUGACGAUGAUCAUCUUGAAAUUUGAAAAUAUACCCUGGGCCCCAUUUCUCACCCAUUUUUUCUUUUUCUUUUUUUCUUUUUUGUGUCCUCGAUUUUGUCUUUUUGAGGGGGAGCUUUGGCUUUUGCUUUUAGAUUGUAGCUUUAGUUGUUAAUUUGUCUUUUUUCUGUGGCAGAGGAUUGGCCAGCUAUUAAGCUAAGCUAAAGUGCCAAACAGUCCCCCAUUCGUGUGCCUUGACUUUUUUUAAUCGAAUCCUAUAACGGAUACUAUGUGAAAUUGGCUAGUGGUUAAGUAAAUUACAGUCCGACAUUUUUUUUUAAUUUAAUAGAAAAUGUUAUCUUAAUGGAGAAGGCAAAAAAGAUAACAAAAAUCGUGAAUUGUGCGUGAGCCGUUGAGCAGUGAUUUUGUCCGAAUAAGCCUCGACCAUUUUGCGGCUUUUUAGGAAUUGGUGAUAUUUUUUCUCAGACUUUGCACGAACUUUUUUUUUUUUUUUUCAAUUAUAGGCUUUUAGUUUUUUUUUUUUUUUUUUUUGGUUGUAUUUGUAAAGUUAACAUUUGACAUUUAAUAUAAAAUCACUAGUGGUUUGAUGGUUCUUACCAUCUACAUAAAAUUUUCGGCUAUAAAAUAGUUGCAAUCUAGAAGAUGAUGAGUUCAUUCAUGGUAUUAAAAUGACUAAUAAAUUAAGAUUUAAUAUCUAUUAAAAACAUUCAUCUCCUGGUUUGCUUGUUUUCAUUCUCUAUGUGGUUGCAAGAAUUUGAUGUCGACUUGGAUGUUUUGAUAACAAUUAUUUUACCGAACUUAAUCUAUAAGUUGAGUCCUAGUAGAAGUUUCUUUUUCACUUUUUGUUAAUCUAUAAGUUAACGAAAAUGACCUAUAAAAUUAAAUUUUAAUAUGUAUUAGAGAACCACUCAUUGGUUUGACGGCUUUCGCUCUCUACGGCUGCGCCUAAUUAAGUGCAUUAGAUAUGGAUAGAGAAAUUUAAUUUGUACAUCUAAAUUUAAUUUAGAAUUUGAGUCCUAAUUGAUGAUGUUUAAGAAAAAAAUGAUAUAUAAAUUAAGAUUUAAUAUUUAUUAAAGAACCAUCUGUUGGUUUGAUAGUUUUCGCUAGCAUUGAAUAUCGACAGCUAUUUGAGUCGUAAUAUACUUGAACUUAACUAUAAGUUGAGUAGUAGUUUGUAUUUAAAACAUGAUAUAUAUUUAACAUCUUUUUUAUGGUUCCAACUCUUUGUGGCUAGUGGCUACAAGUAUUUGGUUUUGAUGAAAAAUUUAGACGUUGAUAUGGUUACAAUUAAUCUAGAAGUUGAGCACUCUUAUAUAGUACUUAAAAAAUGAUAUAUGUAUAUAUAUAUAUAAAUUGAGAUUUGACGUUCAUUAGACAAUUUCUCGUUAUGGAUCUGGUGGCUUUCACUUAGAAAACUGAACUCGUGAAGUAGAGGCAUAAUAAACAGUAUUUAAAAAAAGUUUUUUUUUAAUAUUGAAAAUCCGUAACAAAUUUACACUUUUGAAAGGGGAACCGUGGUCAAAGUUUUAUCCAUUUUUCUGAAAAUAUUUGAUAUCGAACAUCAAAUCUUUAAAAUACAAAUUUCAUAAUUUUUAUUUAAUUGACCAUUAAAACUUCAUAGAGUUAUGAACACGGCUUGACAAAACGUUGAUUAUAAUAGAAUUACUAAAUAUUGCCGUUCAUGCCGGGGCAAGAUCCACGUGUUAUCAUUUAUAUAAUGAGGAAGGAUUGGUUAUUAUUUUCACUCCCACCAACUGUGAUAUAAUUAAUUGUAAGGUUUUUUUUUUAUUUAAAAAAAAAAAAGCCAUGUGUAAUUGCUCCAAACCUUGCCUUAUAUAUAAAGCGAAAAUACCUGCACCCAAAAAUUUUUAGUUAUUUUACCAUCUAUUAUUGAGUAGCAUUUUAAUAUAGAGAAUUAAUUAGCUAAUGUUAAGUAAGAGGAUAAUUUAAAUUAUGUUUCAUUUUAAACCAAAAUUUUAAAUUAUAAUAUUCUAUUAACAAAAAAAGGGACCAAUAGCUUUGAUUGACUAAUGAAAACGUUUUUUUUUUUUUUUUUUUGUUUCAAUGGUAAACCGAAUCUUCAGACUAUGCAAUUCACAUGAUACUAGAUCGGACUAAAAUUUCUUAAAAUGACUGAAACUAGAUGUAAUUGGAAUUUAAUAAUAAUCUAUUGGUUCCAACGAGUACCUAAACAAGUUAGAAAAUUGAACAAAAACGUAUACUUGGAUUUUCAAAUAUUGCAUUAUCCUCGAGAAAACUGAUAAAAGGAAAUCUCAACCCUCCAAAAUUGACUUUAAAAAAAAAAAGAAAUAUAAUUUCUUGCCGGCUAUUGAAUUUGCAUGGCAGAAUUUAAUUAAUUCUAUCCAUUCAAAACGUUCUUUUUUAAUUUUUAUUUUUUAAGAACAAAACAGAUGGAGCAUUACAAUUAGCCGACCAAAAGCCCCCGUAAAACUUUUCAUAAAAGUUAUUUGAGAGUGGAGAACGGGGUCUGCUUAUUAAAGAAAUGAGUUAUUGAAUAAAUAUAUGGGCAUAUCUUUGUCUAUGAAGAGACACCAGUAAAGUAGAAAAAAGAAAGAAAAAAAAAGAUAUUAAAUCUCAUUCUUAGCAAUUAAUUCAUUGUUUUUUUUUUUAAAAAAAAAAAACUUUUCACUGUUGGUUGCCCAUUCAAUUAUUGAUCUUUAGCCCCGUGAAAUCGUCACUUUUUAUGCAAAGUCCAAAAAAAAAUUGAAUUAAAAUCUUUUCCUUUCACUUUACCCAAAAGAGACUAAAAAGGAAGGCAAUACUUGAAAAAUAAUCUUCCCUUUUUUUGACCUACUUAGUUUAAGAACCGAAUUAUCAUAUCAGUAUGUGUCGAUUACUCGAAUAUUCGGAACCUUGGCUAGAAUCUCAUUGUCCCUUACGUGUCCUGAAUGUAUUAUAUCUUACAUAGGACCCAAAAAUUUAAGGGAUAGGCAUGCUACGGGUCUAUCAAGGAACUUAAAAUUUGUGGCAUGAAGCAUAUGAAAAUUAAAUCUUAUUUACACUUGAGCCCCUACAACUUUGAGAGUGUGAUGUUCUACCCCUAUUUUUCUUUUCAACUCUAAUCCCUAAAACUUUACAAUUACUUGUCGUUUUGACCCACUGCUGGUUUCUAAUUCUCCCCUGAUUCUGAUUGUAUCCAUCUCCGUAGUACGCGGUAGUCAAAACUUAUGUUAUGAUCAACUUGAUCAUCAUCCGUUUGUUUGUACGUACGACAAAAUUUUAAUACUAAAUGACUCAAAUUUGUCCACAAAAAUCAAUCGUGGAUUUUGAAUUGCAUCACCUGCCAUUCUCUAAUUGGUCUGCGACCCUUUUGAACACCCCAGAUUGAAGAAAAAGUUUUAGUAGCGCAGCUGCACAACUAAAAGAACAGAAAGAAGAAGGAAAAUUAAAAAAAUAAAAAAAAAAAAACCUAAUUGCGACUGUGCCUCGCAACUACAUUAUAAUAGUUAUAAGUCAAACAGAACCAAACUAAAAUUUUCUCCUUUUUUUUAUAUGUUUCUAGAAAUGUCACAUGACAAUGCUCUUAUCAAGCCACAAGAAACUUGAGUCGUGGGAAUGAAGAGGAAGCAAUUUAUAGCUACGUGUUCAUAACAUGGCGAGCACUCGUGUCUAUGCAUUUAUUUAUGUGAAAUUUAGAGUAAUUAAAUGUCAAAAUUAAAUUUUAUUUUUUUUAAAGGCCCAAUCUAGAUGGUAAUUUGUCCUGGUUCAUCAUCUUCUUCUUUGUUGCUUGGCAUAUCUUAAUAAGUUUUAGUUAACAUUUAAAUAUAAAUAAGAUGUUCGUUUUCAAUUUUGCCAUAUACAAUCACUUUUAUAAUACCAACUAGCAACUCGAAUAUGACUAUUGUAGGUAAACAAAUAUAAUUUCUUGCCAAAAUAAAUAUUUUUAUAAAUUAGAAUAUGUAGCGUUAACUCAAAAGUAAAAAAAAGUCGUUUAUUUUUUUUUUUUAGAAUACAAAUAUUAUAUUUGUAGUGUUAAAUUAAAUAGUAAACGCAUUUAAAAAAAUAUGAAUAACGGAAAUUAAAUUAUAUGAAAAUAUCAUACGCUAAAACAAACAUCCAAAUAUAAAUUCUCCUCUUUUUUUUUUUUUUAAUUAAACGAAGGAUUAAAAAAAGAAGAAGAAGAAGAAAAUGAAUGAUGGUGAUGGAAAUUGUUGUUCACCUCAUUGAUGACAUCAUCUCGACGUAAAUGUUGUUUCAUUAUAAUAAUAGUUCUGUUCGUUGAACUUGGCAAUUUAUUUUUAUAUCUGUUGAUUUGUUACACCAAAGUCCGCCCCGAGCGCUAAGACAUGAACAUAUAAUUAAAUAUAUAUUUUUUUUAAAUGUAGAAUUAUUACAAUAGAGUAUCAAAUCCUAUGGGUUAGAUUUUGUAAUCAUUAAGAUUUAGGAAUUAUGACGAAAACCAGUUCAUGUUCUUUCUAAUUAUUAUCGAAGUUGAUGUAUGUCGAAUAUUUAGGGUAGGUCAGUCAAAAAAAUUGCGGGAAAAACAUAAUCCAAUAAUCCAUAAGCCCGGAACUUUAUUGAGGAAAAUAUAUAUAAAAAAAAAUGAAAAAUACUUGAAACUCGCAGGUGUUUAUUUAAUUUGCAUGGCGGGAAAUGCAGCCACAAUACUGAAAAACAUUCUGAGCAAUUCGUCACCAAAACCCACUCCUAGCAAAACCCUAACCAAAACUAUCUCAGGUCACCUCAAAUCGAACGGUCUCCGAAAAGCCAUAUCCGUUCUCUUUGCUUCCGGAGAGCCCGUCUCUUACUCGCUUUAUGCCCAUCUCUUUCAGCUUUGCGCUUCAAGUAAAGCCAUCGUUGAGGCUCGAAAACUCGAAUCCAACUUAGUUACUUUCUACCCCACACCGCCGGUAUUCCUCUUGAAUCGUGCCAUUGAGUGUUACGGCAAAUGCGGGAACUUGGAUGAUGCGAGGGGGCUGUUUGAUGAAAUGCCUGAGAGAGAUGGUGGGUCUUGGAAUGCGAUGCUUGGCGCCUACACGCAAAAUGGGUUUCCGGGGAGGACGUUGGAGUUGUUUUUGGAUAUGAAUCAUUCAGGGGUUUCUGCAAAUCAGAUUACCUAUGCUAAUGUUUUGCGGUCGUCUGCCGAGGAAUUGGAGCUUGGUGUUUCAAAGCAGCUUCAUGGAUUGAUUGUGAAACGUGGGUUUUGCGGGAAUGUGAUUUUGGAGAGUUCCCUUGUGGAUGCGUAUGGGAAGUGUAUGGUUAUGACUGAUUCGAGGAGAAUGUUUGAUGACAUUCAGAAUAAGAAUGCAGUUUCUUGGAAUGUUAUUGUGAGAAGGUAUCUUGUGGCGGGGAAUGGAAAGGAGGCUGUAGUUAUGUUUUUUAAGAUGUUGAGAGAAGAUAUUAGGCCGCUGAAUUUUACUUUUGCCAACGCGCUAUUUGCUUGUUCAUUUUUAUCUUCACCAUAUGAGGGGAUGCAGAUUCAUGGAGUUAUUAUUAAGAUUGAUUUUGAAGGGGAUGAUGUGGUUUUGGGGUCCCUCACUGAGAUGUAUGUUAAAUGUGGAAGACUAGAGGAUGCUCGGGGCCUUUUGGACCAACCUGAUGAGAGGAAUAUAAUUUCUUGGACUUCUAUCGUGUCGGGAUAUGCCAUUAGUGGGAGAAUUAGAGAGGCAAGAGAACUCUUCAAUGAGAUGCCUGAACGCAAUGUGAUAUCAUGGAAUGCAAUGUUAGCUGGGUAUACUCGUUCUCUUCUGUGGAAAGAGGCUUUGGAUUUUGUUUUUCUUAUGCGAAAGACAACUAAAGACAUUGAUCAGGUCACUCUUGGGUUGAUUCUAAAUGUUUGUGCUGGUCUUUCAGAGAUUAAAAUGGGGAAAGAAGUUCAUGGUUUUAUCCAUCGAAAUGAUUAUUCGUCCAAUAUCUUUGUCAGCAAUGCUCUCCUUGACAUGUACCGCAAAUGUGGUAACCUGAGAAGUGCCAGAAUUUGGUUUUACCAAAUGAGUCAACGGCGGGACAAGGUUUCUUGGAAUGCUGUGUUGACUGGCUAUGCUCGUCGUGGUCAGAGUGAAGAAGCUAUGACAUCUUUCUCAGAGAUGCAAUGGGAGACAAGACCUAGUAAAUUUACAUUUGAAACUCUUUUGGCAGCAUGUGCAAACAUUUCUUCUCUUGAGCAAGGCAAACAAAUUCAUUGUUUCGUGAUUAGAAAUUGUUACGAGAUAAAUGUUGUAUGCAGAGGAGCUUUAGUUGAGGUGUACACUAAAUGCUGUUGUCUUGAGUAUGCAAUACGGGUUUUCAAGGAGUCAUCUUCAUUGGAUGUGAUUAUUUGCAACUCUAUGAUUUUGGGAUUUUGUCAUAAUGAAAGGGGCAGAGAAGCACUUGAAGUGUUUGGUUUAAUGAAGAAGGAAGGAAUUAAGCCAGACCAUAUCACCUUUCAUGGAAUUCUGCUUGCUUGUGUACAUGAAGGUAAUGUUAAGUUGGCUCUACAGUUUUUUGAUUCAAUGAGGUGUAAAUACGGUAUCAUACCUCAGUUGGAACACUAUGAAUGCAUGAUCAAGCUCUACUGCCGUUAUGGAUACAUGAAGGAGCUUGAAGAUUUUGUGAACAGGAUGCCAUUCAAUCCCACUGUUCCAAUGUUAAGAAAAAUAUUUGACAAAUGUAGAAAAAAUGGGUAUGCGAUGUUAGGAGAAUGGGCUGCUAGACGACUUAAUGAAUUGAACCCUUGGGCUCCAUUCCAGUUUAAGAUAACAACAAACAGAAUUGACAGGUACUGAUAAUCAGGAUUGCACAUAGGAGAAUCUAUCUUCUGCACAUACCUAUGCUGUGAGGCUAGCAGCUGCAAUUGAUUUCUUCAGCCCCUGAGUAGCUGCCUACAGAAUGCAAGAAUCCAUGGUUCCAGGGGCACGUAACUGACAAUUAUGCAUGGCGAGAAUCCAUGGCCGCAAAAGGGUCUUUUCUCAAUCCAUAAUCGCAGGAUUCACUGCAUAAAGGGAGCUACGGCAUACACAGCUGUGAAGUGAGCUCAUCAAAUGGGAUAAGUUGGUUUAUACUUGGGGACUUUUUGUAGGAAAUUAAUUAUUAUUUUUUAACUGGCUGGCAAAUAAGCUUGUGAAAUUUCCCGAGCAGGCUACAGUAAUUUUAACGUAUAGGUGACCUUCAUGUGAGAAUCACGCCGCGCCAUAAUGUUAAUUGUCUAUGAACUUACGUACAAAGUGAAGCUGAAUAAUAAAUACUUCAUUUCAUCCAAAGGAAACUGUUUUUGUUUCGUAAUAAAUGAUUUUGUGUUUCUUUUAGAUUAGCCUCAUACUUGCAGCCAAUAAAUUACAAAAGCUUUAGUUUCUUCAGUUACAAUAUUAGGGCAUAUCUGUGCCUCUUACUUUAUUCUUAUGCCCUAACAAGGUAGGUGUUCAUUAAAAGCUCAAGUGGCUGUUACAAUUACAAAAGGACUCUUGGUACAAUACAAAUGAAUGAAUACUUUUUCCCUUGACCAUGGAUACUAGAAUAGACUAUUUAGCCCGUCUACUCCAAUCAUGCAACACCCACCACUCGAUUCACGUAGGAAAACAGCUCCACCUCCACUUCCUCAAAAAGGGUAUCCUUAAUUCCACCCUACCAAUAGCAAACCGCCUUCUGCUAAUGUACAUGAGAUGCGGUAACCCCACCGAUGCACUCCUUCUGUUCGACGAAAUGCCCCUUAGAAAUUGUUUCUCUUGGAACGCAAUGAUUGAGGGCUUCAUGAAGCUUGGGCACAAAGAAAAGUCUCUACAGUUGUUUAAUGUGAUGCCGCAAAAGAAUGAUUUUUCUUGGAACAUGCUUAUUUCAGGAUUUGCAAAAGCGGGUGAGUUGAAGACUACACGGACUUUAUUUAAUGAUAUGCCUAGGAGAAAUGCGAUUGCUUGGAAUUCAAUGAUUCAUUGUUAUGUGCGUAAUGGGUUUGCUAGAGAGGCUGUCAGGUUGUUUAAGGAAUUAAAUUCGGACCUGGUUGAAAGACUGCAAUGUGAUGCUUUUGUUUUGGCCACGGUUAUUGGAGCUUGUGCAGAUUUGGCAGCUCUGGAGUAUGGAAAGCAAAUCCAUUCACACAUUCUGGUUAAUGGACUAGACUUUGACUCAGUGUUGGGUAGUUCGCUUGUUAACUUGUAUGGAAAGUGUGGUGAUUUCAAUAGUGCAAAUCAGGUUUUAAAUAUGAUGAAGGAACCAGAUGAUUUCUGUUUGUCAGCAUUGAUUUCGGGUUAUGCUAAUUGUGGUAAAAUGAAUGAUGCCAGAAGGGUUUUUGAUAGGACAACUGACACAAGUUCUGUGAUGUGGAAUUCAAUGAUUUCUGGUUAUAUUUCAAAUAAUGAGGAUACGGAAGCCUUACUUCUCUUCCAUAAGAUGCGGAGAAAUGGAGUUCUUGAAGAUGCUUCAACAUUAGCCAGUGUUUUGAGUGCCUGUAGUUCUCUUGGUUUCCUUGAAUAUGGUAAACAAGUGCAUGGCCAUGCUUGUAAAGUUGGAGUAAUUGAUGAUGUCAUUGUUGCAAGUGCUCUGCUUGACACAUAUUCCAAAUGUGGAAUGCCAAGUGAUGCUUGCAAAUUAUUUAGCGAGCUCAAAGUCUAUGAUACAAUCUUGCUUAACACCAUGAUCACUGUAUAUUCAAGCUGCGGCAGGAUUGAAGAUGCAAAACAUAUCUUUAGGACCAUGCCAAAUAAAAGCUUGAUAUCAUGGAAUUCGAUGAUUGUGGGUCUUAGCCAAAAUGGCAGUCCAAUUGAAGCAUUAGAUCUUUUCUGCAAUAUGAAUAAACUGGACCUGAGGAUGGACAAAUUUAGCCUAGCCAGCGUGAUUAGUGCAUGUGCUAAUAUUUCUUCACUUGAACUUGGUGAACAGGUUUUUGCUAGAGUUACCAUCAUUGGUCUUGAUUCUGAUCAGAUAAUUUCCACCUCCCUUGUUGAUUUCUAUUGCAAGUGUGGUUUCAUUAAAAGUGGACGAAUAUUAUUUGAUGCAAUGAUUAAAUCUGACGAAAUAUCGUGGAAUUCAAUGUUGAUGGGUUAUGCUACAAAUGGUCAAGGAUAUGAUGCGCUGGCCUUGUUCAAUGAAAUGAGGAACACUGGUGUGAAACCCACUAUUAUUACAUUUACAGCAAUUUUGUCUGCCUGUGAUCAUUGUGGACUAGUCAAGGAGGGACAGAAAUGGUUUGAUGCCAUGAAAUGGCAAUAUCAUAUUGAUCCUGAGAUUGAGCACUAUUCUUGCAUGGUCGAUCUUUUUGCCCGGGCUGGUUGCCUUAAUGAGGCAGUCAAUCUAAUAGAGCAGAUGCCUUUUGAGGCAGAUGUAGGCAUGUGGUCGUCAAUCUUAAGGGGUUGUGUGGCUCAUGGAGAUAAGGGUCUAGGGAGGAAGGUAGCAGAGAGGAUGAUUGAGCUUGAUCCUGAGAACGCAUGUGCUUAUAUACAACUAUCAAGCAUAUUUGCCACCUCCGGAGAAUGGGAAAAGUCAUCUUUAAUUAGAGACAUAAUGAGAGAGAAACAUGUUGGGAAGCUGCCAGGUUGCAGCUGGGCGGAUGGGUGAACAACAAAACUUUUUGGUGGAAAUUGAUAUUAAGAGACUUUCAUCUUCCUGAGGAGAAACCUGUUAUGCCUGGAGGGUCUUGCCUAUAUUUUUGUUGGUUUGACCAAAGCUAAUUUGCCAGUAAGUUCAAAGAGAGUGUUUUGUUCUAGAAUAUUUAAAUUCUAAUUCUUUCUACUUUGUUGCAUAAGAUCUUUGUCUGGGCAAUGAAGAAAGUCACUCUUGUGAUCCAGCAUCUUUUAAAUACUAUUUUAUCUGAGAAUAGUGGCUUCAUUGUCUUAUAUUUAACUUCUUUCUGCAGUAUUGCUUUUAACUGUUGGUUUCUUGAUACUAUGUUUUUGCAGCUGGCUAAUUUUGAUGAAAUAAAACAGCAUCAGUCAGCAGACUUUUGUGAUUACAUUCAUGGUUUUGACCAAGCUCGAUUGCCUCUUAGUUCAAAGAGAUCUUUCGUUCUUGGUUACCUCUUGAGUACCCUGAGUUUGAAGGUUGUGUAUUCCAACUUGUGCUCAUCACUUGUAGUUCCCACACGCAAUGAGGUAUCCAUUUAGCCAUUUUCCUCUGCUUUGCAUUCCCUGCAGCCUGGUGGACAAACUGAUAUGCCCUUUUCUUAUAUGUGAUUGUAACCUCAUUCUAUGUUUGUGCUUAUUAUUAUUAUUAUUUUGAUGUUGUUUCUGAAGCUUGCUUAUUUGUUGAUCAGGAUGGUUUAUGGGAACAUAUUGACCAUCGCGCUUCUAUUGCUUGCAAAUAAUGGAGGUCUGUGAUCUUGUUUAUAGCCUUUCGCAUACAUUUAACUGAAGAUAUGCAAUGGCUUAGGAUGGGAGCGUGUCUGAUGAGUGAUGAGACGACCACUGUGUCUAUGAUUCAAUCAGGACGUAUUAAAAUAGCAAUAUUUAUAACUUGCCAUAGAUAAUGGUGUUGGAGUUGUAAUUUGGAAUCAUAAGGGUACAUUUCCCUCCCGUCUUAGGUUUAAUUAUUUGUUGAGUUGUCGUUUUAAAGUGUUUUUAAAGAACUAUUUUUUUAGAAUAAAAACAUAGGUUGGAUCAAACUAUUUUUUUUUAAAGGGAAUAUGCUGUAACUUUUGAAUGAAGAUUGAAGAAGAAUAGAAGUGAUUUGGUUUGUUUGGUGUACUUUACGAAGAUUGAAGAAUCAGAAAUUUGGUUUCCGAAUCCAAAUCCAUUGCUUUAGCCUAAGAGUGGAGCUCCGAACGCUCUAUGAAAAGUGAAAACUUAUGAAAUCCUAUUUGUUACAUUUACAGCUCUUCCUUUCAUUAAAAUUAUAGAAAACGAUAAAAGAUACCAUGGAGUUUUGAUUAAAUUCAAAUACCAUCUAGAGUAAAUUAAUUAAAUUUUAAAUAUGCUUUUUCAUAAUAAGAAUCAAUCAUUCGACAAAACAAUUUGAAGAUAAUAGGCUUCAUAUUUGGAUGUAAAAAAAUUAAUUUCGAGUUUAUAAAAAAUUAAUUAUAUUAUAUAUUAAAAUUUAAAGAUAAUAAGCUUCAUAUUUGGAUGUAAAAAAAUUAAUUUCGAGUUUAUAAAAAAUUAAUUAUAUUAUAUAUUAAAAUUUAAAGAUAAUAAGCUUCAUAUUUGGAUGUAAAAGUAUUUUAAUUUAAUUAAAUUCAAUUUGUUCUUUUAUAUAAUUUCAACUAGUAUUACUCUUGCUUUAAUUUCUUGCACUUUUAGACUGAAUUUGUGGGACCAUUUGGGCUUGGCCCAAUCACACAUCGCUCCCAUAAAACAAAAACCAUCAGUUUCUUGCAGGGACCAUUCAAAAUGCCGCGGCAUAAAAUCACUUUACGACUGCUCCAAAUCGAAUGUUAGGCGCUUGCAGAGCUCAGGCAAGAAGAACAAGUAGAAGAAUCAGUUGUAAAGCCUUGAUUCGUAAUUCUGAGAGCACAAUGCUUAUUAGUGGCACUUCACUUUUAUGUCCUCGUAUCUGAAGAAAGCUCAUGUUAACAAGGCCUCUCUGUCUUAUUGCUCACAACUAAUAGACCGUUGUUUGUCCUUUAAAUCCUUUGAUUUUGCCAAAACCAUCCAUGGCCACUUGUUUAAACUCGGUUUCAAUGCCCAUACUUAUCUGGGUAAUCGUUGUCUUGACUUAUACUCUCGGUUUGGGACUUCGGAUGAUGUUUUGCAAUUGUUUGAUGAAAUUCCUCAAAAGAAUUGCAUAUCAUGGAAUAUUUGCCUGAGGGGGUUGCUCAAAUCCGACAACCUCGAUACCGCACGUAAGGUGUUUGAUGAAGUUCCCGAGCCAGAUGUCGUCAGUUGGAAUUCAAUGAUUUCGGGAUACGCUUCUUGUGGGUAUUCUGAUUAUGCUUUGGAGAUGUUUUCUAAAAUGCAACUUCAGGGUGUAAGGCCAAGUGGGUUCACUUUUACAAUUUUGUUAUCGACUGUGUCUAGUUCUUGUCAUGGUAAGCAAAUACACGGUAGCAUGAUUCGGAGUGGCUUGAGUUUGUCAAAUGUGGUGCUUGGGAAUUCCUUAAUUGACAUGUAUGGGAAGCUCGGUGUUCUUUACUAUGCUUUUGGUGUGUUUUUGAAUAUGGAGGAGCUGGAUAUUAUCUCUUGGAAUUCAUUAAUUUCAGGGUGUUUUAAUUCGGGCUAUGGAGAGUUGGCAUUGGAUCAGUUUUAUUCAAUGAGGUACUCAGGGUAUUCACCUGAUGAGUAUACAAUUUCAAUAGUAAUAAAUGCCUGUACUAAGUUGCGAAAUUUGGAUAAGGGUAAGCAAGUUUUCGCUCUCUCUGUCAAAGUGGGAUUUCUUUCUAAUUCCAUUGUUUUGAGUGCCACUAUUGACCUGUUUUCCAAAUGCAACAGAUUGGAGGAUUCUGUCCGUCUAUUUGAACAACUAGAUCGAUGGGAUUCUGCUGUUAUCAAUGUUGUGAUUUCAACCUAUGGAAGGUAUGGCUUUGGAGAGGUUGCUUUAGAAUUGUUUCAGCUUAUGUUGAGGGAGGAUAUAAGGCCUACUGAGUUCACACUUAGCUGUGUUCUAAGCUCUAUUCCAAUUCCUCCGGUGGAGCAUGGAAGUCAAUUCCAUUCCAUGGCAAUCAAAUCUGGUUUUGAUUCCAAUGCAGUUGUUGCCAGCUCACUCAUGGAAAUGUAUGCUAAAACUGGUUCAAUUGAUUCUUCUACGGAAAUAUUUGUUAAAUUGGAUAAAAGAGAUUUAGUAUCUUGGAACACCAUAAUGAUGGGUUUAACCCAGAAUGGUAGAGCAGCUGAGACGCUGGAUGUUUUCGAAGAACUACUUGAGGAAGGUCUGCCUCCUGAUCGAAUAACACUAGCUGCGGUUUUAUUAGCUUGUAACUAUGGCGGUUUUGUUGAUAAGGGAAUGCUCGUUUUUUCAGCAAUGAAAGAGGAAUAUGGAGUUAUGCCCGGUGAAGAGCAUUAUGCUUGCAUUAUUGAUUUGUUGUGUCAGGCUGGUCAGCUCGGAAAAGCAAUAGAUAUUACAAGCACAAUGCCCUUUCAACCCGGUUGUUCAAUUUGGGAAUCAAUACUCCGUGCUUCUGCAAUUUAUGGAGAUGUGAAGCUCACUGAAAACGUAGCAGAGAGGAUGAUGGAUUUACAAUUGCCAUCGCCUCUACCAUAUUCACUGUUGACUCAGGCAUAUGCAAUGAGGGGGAGAUGGGAGGCCAUAGUGAGAGUGAAGAAGGUCAUGCGAAAGAAUGGAAUAAGUAAGGUGACUGGAUGCAGUUGGAUUGGGAUAAAGAACCGUAUAUAUACUUUUAAUGCAGGCGAAUUACAGCAUCAUCGAGGCCAAAAAAUUUAUUUGGUAUUGAGAUUACUGACUUGGGAAAUGGAGGAUGAGGGUUGUGUAUAUUUAGAGUGUGAUAAAUUGGAUGUCGAGGGGAGGUAAGAACACAGUUCAACUGCAAUAUAAGAGAUUCUUCCGGUCUUGAUCAAGUACUUGCAGUUUGAUGCCAUAGAUCAAUUCUAACAGAUUGGUAUGUGAAAAUAUAGCAGUGUGUACUGAGUAGUUCAUUGAUACUGAAGUUUGGCAGUUGAUUUUCAGAAGCAAUGCCAAGUUCAUUCCAUUCCAUUCUGUCAUAGAGCUGGAUUCAUUGUGUUAGACAUACAAGAGGGCAUAAUUCUUAAAUUAAUUGUGCUCAUCUUAUCUGAUAUAAAACGAUUCUAACAACAUAUGUUGUUUAUUCUAUGCGAUUAGCCUGUAAUUAUAAAGAAAUUGUGAAAGAUCAAUUAGGAUUUUGAUGUUGUCUGGGAUGUUGUAAAGACCAAUAUUCUUCGGUAUACCUAUAUGGUUAGUCUCUAUUGUGAAUGUCUGCUUCGCAUAAAAUGUAGACGUGCAUGUUGUCAAAUAAGAACAUUUGAGUUUCCAGGAUAUAUUCUUUCAUAUAAUUAAUUUGUUUUUUUUUUCUUUUUCUACUAAAAUCUUAUAUAAAUUUUCAAUACCCUCCUAUUUCAUCCCACACAUCGAAACAUAAAAAAAAAAAACAAAUGCUAAAUAGUGAAUGAAUAAUGCUAAAGAGAGAGAAAGAUAAGAGAAUUUUACUCUCUUCCUACCCAAUCCGCUUGCUCUUUUUCUUUUCAACAGAUUUUCUCUCAUUUUUCUCUCAUCUUUCUCUCUUUUUGUCAUUUUUUUUAUAAUUUAUAAAAUUGAAAAAUUAAAGGAGCGAUAUCUUACCUACCCAAGUUCAAUAUUUAAGAGCGAUAUUGAUUUAUGACCUAACGGCAUGAAACUGGAAACCAGAGGCAUUUAUUAUGAAUUCAAUUCACCUAUAUUACUAACUCUCAUCUCAAGAGCAGAAUGGUAUGAAUAGUUGAGAAUGCAAUUAUCUGACGGUCUGAGGAUGGUGAAAUGAAUAUGGUGUCAUAAAUUAUAAACCAUUUUUGUAUUAUCUGUAGAUAUAAUAACAUAGUUAGUGUUUGCCAUUCAAAGAAAAACUCAAUGGAGAAAAAAAAAAGUUAUUUUUGUGUAUAGCGAGCUUCAAAACUCAAACAUGUGGUAUCAUGCUAAAAACGUUUAUUAAUUAAAGGGUUAAUUUGAAAAUAGUCGUCGUUAAUUGACUAUCUUUAAAUAUAUAUUUUUUUUAAAUUUCAAUUUAUUCCUUAUUUUUAUUAAGAAAAAGAAAAAAAUCAGUUAUUGAAAUAUUUCAGCUUUAAGGGUAUUUGUUAAAACAUUUCAGAUUUUGCUUACUCUUUGAUGUGGAGUUGAGAUGAUGUUAGGGUUGGCUCUCUAUCAUGAUAGUCCAAUAUUUUUAUAGUUAUUUUCUCAACAACAUUGCAUGAAUUAUUGGUGUUAGGAAAUUUGGUGGGUGAAGCAAAUACGGUUAAAGUGAAAUUGGAAUAUAAUGAUCACACAAAGACAUUAAAAUUUACGUGAUUUGAUUUUUAACCUAUGUCCAUUGACAAAGACAGAAAAAAAUAUUUUACUAGUGAAAACGAGUUACAAGUAUUGUAGUGUUUUAUCUCACAACCCAAAACUCCAAGUACACCCAAACUCUCAAAAAUACUAAAAUUAGAGUUCAAAACUCUCAACACUCUCAACUUAUACAUCUUGACACUCUCACUUGAAUUGGAGAAAAUGAGAUGAUUGAAGAGGGCAAAUGAAGCCUUUAUUUAUCGGCCCAGGAAUGCCCAAAAAAUCAAUAAAGGCGGGCACUAAAAUAACAUAAAAUUUCACUCAACUUUCUACUUUAGUGUCAAAGUUAAAAGUUGCGUGCUUUCCACUUAUUCAUGUUUCUUAUUUACUUAACAAAUUUACGUCAAGAGUCAAAAGUUGUAUGCUAGCCACAUGCAAUUGUUUGCCAUAUGCAUGCACAUAUUCAAUAAUUAGUACAUAUGUUUAUAUCUUAAUAAUUCAAGAUCUCGAUAUUAACUGUUAAUUUUUUUACUAAAUAAUAAUAUAUUGAAAAAGGAAAUGUUAUUUUGACAAAAAGUAGAAAAAAACAAAAAUAUCUCGACAAAAGGUAAGUUGAUUAAUAACUAUUCUGAUAGUUUAAUUUUUUAAUGCCUUCAUCAAAAUUUCACAACUCAAAAAAAAAAAUUUUGGUCCACGUAGCAAUGUUGUCGAAAAAGGGGAAAAAAAUCUCCUUUUUUUUUGCAUGAUUUUUUUUAACUUAUUAGUUAUCACUCGGUACGAAGAACGUGUUUAUUUAUUUAUUUAUUUUUCCUUGUGAUGUACAUAUUAGAUAAUUCUUAACGAUUUUAUUUCAAUCUAUGCCUUUUGUUUCCACCAGCCAGCCCCACCAACCAAAGGAAGGAAAAAAAAGAAAAGCAAGGCUUAGGCCUGACUAACAACAAGUGAAGGAAUUUUUUAAAAUAUUUUUAAUUUUACCAACGAGAAAGAGCCCUUUCAAAUUGCAUUCUUUAAAAGAAAAAGAAAAAAGAAAAAAGAAAAAAUGGAGAAGCCCGAAUUCCCAUCUUUGAUUCUAACGGUUAGUUUUAUUACUUGUAACCAUAGAAAAUUGUUUGCUUGACCUUGUAAUUAACAAUUAACAGUGGAUCAGGCUACGGUAUAAUUGUGGUAUCGCACUACAGUUGCAUCCAGUCGUUGAAAAUACUUAAAUUGGUGGGGUUUAUUGACAUUCAACGACUGGAUGCAACUGUAGCACGGUACUACAGUUAUACCACAGAUUUUUCCUUAACAGUGAUGAGCCACGUGGCCGAGGAUGCUGACCAUCAGCCUUGAUAUAUUCGUAUCAAUAAAUAUUAAGAAAUUGUCAUUUUUGGCUGGAUUAGCUGAUCCCAUCCCAUCCAGUUCCCCUACAAAUUACAAAAUAAAUGUUUCCAUCUGGACCCUGCGACGCAUUAUUAACUCCACAUUGACCCAACUGAGCAACUGGGCGACACAUCAUGUUUUCCGAGACAGAAUCAUAAAAAACACAGUUUCCAUAAAUUCAUCGGGGGCUGUUGUUUAAAAUCAACAUCUCAAAACUGUAAUUGUGAGUGACCCUAUGGAUUGAGGAAAUUCUAGAAUAAUAUAGCUAUCUAUAUAAAUAAAUAUAUAUAUAUAUAUAUAUAUAUAAUUUUUAAAAAUAAAUAUAUAUACAUAUCAUAAUAAUAUUAUUUAUUUUUUAUAUUACUGAUAUAAUACCUCCAUUAUAUUUUAAAUUUUUUUUCUAAGCCCUGUGUGCGACAUGAGAUUAGUUUUAGUGCCGAGUCACAUCCAGCGAAGCUUUUAGUGCAUUAUUUCAAUAUCUCUUCAAAUUCCCAAGCUUAUAUAGACAAAGCCGUGCAAGGUACUGAUUCCAUCAAAAGCCUCGCUGGCUUCAAAUCCCACCAUCAUUUUCUUCCUUCUUUCUUACCUUCGUAUCUUUGCCGUUGUUCAAUAUCGAAAAAAUUAAAUGGCGAUUUGGUUAACAAAAUCAAGAGCCAUGGCCCAAUGCUUACGGCAAAGAGUUGGUUUGCUGAGGAUAUUAAGUGGCCAGAGUUGUUCAUCCCCAUCAACCAUAUUCCCACUUCAGCAAUAUAAUUCACCAUCACUUCCAAGCAAAACCCUUUUCUCGCCGGGGCGUUCCGAGUCCACCGUUGCUGCCAAUCAGCUGGAUUCUUUGUCUUCCAGUGACAGCGAUGAUGAUCAUCAGGUAACAUAGUUAUAUUUAAUUUAGCUCUGUGUCAUUACCACAUCUCUAUACACGCUUGUUAGUUGUUAUUUUCUGAUUCUCUGAUUACCGAAAGAUUGCUUUGUGCAAAUCUGUUAAACUGCAAUUAGUGAUAACAAGGCUGGUAGCAGCCUAUAUAUAUGUCUUUAAGUUCUAACGGUUGCAUUUCUUUUCUCUCUCCUUUUCUUUAGCUUCUUUCCUAUUUGAUUCUGAAAAAAUAAGUAUGCACCAGAAAACACGACUUCCAACUCUUUUUAUAAAUCUUGUGUGAACUCAGAAAUCAGGUUUUUUUUUUUCCUUAUUUUUUUUUUAAUGAUUCUUUGUUGCUAUUGAAAAAAUUAAGGAGUGAUAAAAGCUACUUUUUAAGUGGGUUGAUGGAACCGCAGAUGUAUACCAAUGCACUAAAGUUAAUGAUUCUUUUUUUUUUUUUUUAUGUCUUCCACUCAGAAAAUGUUUUGGUAUACGUAGCCUUAUUUGUAGUAAUUUUUUUUUUUUUAACUAUUGUCAAUCAUGGACUAAAAGAAGAGUAUUUCAAUUCUAAAUAUACUUUUAAUCAACUAAUCAAAACCACCGUAGAACUCUCAUGUGCUCCAUCCGUAGAACUCGCUUCGUUAUCACAUGUUAUGAGAUCAUGAAUUUGAAAUCUUAUAAAUAUAAAGAACCGUUGCCAACUUUAUAUUUUUUUUUAUCAUAUCCGUACCGUAUGUUAGACUUGAAGCAGGAUGAGAUCGAUUCGAUGAUAAUCUUUAAUUAAGUCCACUUUCUCUCUCAUAAUCUUUAGUGUUUGAUUCGUGCAUUGACGGUUCCUCUAUAAAGAUACAAAUAAAUAGAAUCUGCCAUGUGUGUACGUGAAUUUUCUAAAAUAAAACUCCAAAGAUGAUAAAUCUUCCAGCACUGAUGGGAUUCGGCCUCCUCCUCACAUCCUUAUCCUCCGUCGGCUUGGAUCCUGCCGGUGCCAAUAAUUAUAAGCGUUUUGGUAACAUAAAGGAAACACAUGAAAACAAAAAUCAAUAAUUAUAAUUAUUAUCUCGCUUGAAGGCCAACGGAUAAAUUUUAAACCACAUAUUGUUUGCCUUGGAUUGCCCGUCGGGCAGACUGAUUUUGACCAAUGUGAUCACUUCAAUUUUAUCUUGUUGUGCUUGCCCCAUCGUGAAAGGAAUUUAGAACUUGUUUAGUUCCUGUCUGAUGUAGUUAUAAUCAAUGUUAUGUUCUUACUCUUGAGUUUUAAUUUCUUGGAUCAAAAUUUUCAUUAUUGACCCCAAAUUUCGUGUACGUGGCCUCUAACAAAUUGGGCUAUGUUAAAAUUAGUAUAUUACAUUAGUGUGCAAGAUAUGGUUAUCUAAACCUUGGGAUGCAAAUAUGUACGCUAAAAUGGGAUUUGAGAUUACUAUAGAGCUUAAUUAUUGGUACAAAAUUCCCCCACCUGCUGGCCAAAUUGCUCUGCUCCCACGCAACGCAUUGUUUUAAAUGAAAACAAAAUUUUAAUUUAAAAUCAUACAAAAUUGGUAGGGACGGGGCUGAUCAAAAGAAGACGGUACGGGGUAUCUAGCGCAACCAACUAAUAAUGUAGGCGGCCGCUUCCUUUUACUUUCAUAUGCGUAGGCCCAACGUCGUUGGGAUUUAACUUCAUUUUUCUCCUUUUUUUCCCCCCAAAAAAAAAGCUGAUAUUUAAUAAAUAUUUUUUAAAAACGUGCCCAUAGUCAAACUUUAAAAACAUUAACAAAAAUUAUAAUAUUUUUAUUAUUUAAAAAGAAAAAAAAAAGCACCACGUUUCAAUUGUCAUGUAUUUCUAUUGCGUAAAUAACACUUAAAGUAUAUUAAUUUGGAUUUUGAAUAUUGAGCCGAAAAGGGGCAUUGCAAUUUUUAACAUUUCGAUUCUCUCGUUGUGGCAGGUCUUGGAUUUUCCCGGAGGCAAAGUUGGAUAUACUUCUGAAAUGAGGUUCAUUCCUGAGUCUUCAGAGAAAAGAGUGCCUUGUUUUCGAGUUCUUGAUGACAAUGGAGAGCUAAUCAAGGGCAGUGAUUUUCAACAGGUACACAUAUAUAAUAUAACUUCCUUUAUUAAUGAUCAUAUUUUUCAAUACCCGAUUCUCAAGAUUCAUCAAAGUUCAAGAGCUUGCGAUUUUGGCUUGGUGGUUUCAUUAGGUGAGCAAGGAAGUUGCUGUAAAGAUGUAUAGCCAUAUGGUCACACUGCAGGUAAUGGACUCUGUAUUGUACGAAGCACAAAGGCAAGGGAGAUUUUCUUUCUACCUUACAACAAUUGGUGAAGAAGCAAUCAACAUAGGAUCAGCAGCUGCACUCAGCGCCGAUGAUUUUAUCUUGCCUCAGGUAACCAUAGGCUGUAUACAUAUAUAUACAUAGAUCAGCUCAAUAAUUUCUUGCAUUUGAAGCUAACGCAACUUCAUGUAUCCAAUGCCAAUGUGCUCAUGCCAGUACCGAGAGCCUGGAGUACUCUUAUGGCGUGGCUACACAUUGCAACAAUUUGCAAACCAGGUGUUUGCAAACAAGGCUGAUGAUGGGAAAGGCAGACAGAUGCCAAUUCAUUAUGGGUCUAAAAAGCUUAACUACAUCACCAUAUCGUCACCUAUCGCGUAAGCUAUCUUGAUCAUGUCUAGAACAUUUCUUCAAAUUAUCACGUACACUGUCAUCUCUGAUUAUUUUCAUUGCAAUCUAUGAUUGUAAUUCAGUACACAACUUCCUCAAGCUGUUGGUGUGGCUUAUUCUCUUAAAAUGGAGAAAAAGGAUGCCUGUGCAGUUGCUUAUACUGGAGAUGGCGGCACCAGUGAGGUGAUUACUAGCAGCAUAAUUCCUCUUCCUAUAUCCUUUCCUUGGGAUUUAAAUUGUCUUUUUGCUCAUUUUUCUAGUUGUGUUGAUUCAGGGAGAUUUUCAUGCCGCAUUGAACUUUGCAGCAGUUAUGGAAGCCCCUGUCGUCUUCAUCUGUCGCAACAAUGGCUGGGCCAUUAGUACCAAUAUAUCAGAACAAUUUCGAAGUACUGCUAUCACUUCUUUUUUUUAAAAAAAAAAAAAAAUUCUCAUUAAUAAAAAUUUUGGGAUCACACUACAUACUUUUUGCAGGCGAUGGUAUUGUUGUUAAGGGUCGUGCAUAUGGUAUCCGAAGCAUACGAGUAGAUGGAAAUGAUGCACUUGCUGUUUAUACCGCAGUUCAGGCAGCUCGUGAAAUGGCUAUCAGUGAAAAGAGACCUGUGUUAGUAGAGGUAAGAUUGAAUUUCCUCUGGUGAAAAGUUUGUAGGCAAUUUAGCCAUAACUUUUCUGAAAAUUUGGAACUUUGUUCCAAUUUUCAGGCCCUUACAUAUCGAGUAGGACAUCACUCAACCUCGGAUGAUUCCACCAAAUACCGAACACUUGAUGAAAUCGAGUACUGGAAAACAGAACGAAGUCCUGUCAAUAGAUUUAGGAAUUGGGUGGAAAGGCAAGGCUGGUGGAGUGAGCAAGAAGAAACCGAGCUUCGAAGUAGCAUCAAGAAACAGGUGAUCUAAACUAGUGCAGAUAUCUGUAUACUUGCUAGCAGUCCCCUUGACAUUGCCAAUCAUUUUCACAGUACUUGCGUAUUCAGACUAAAGUAAUUUAAUUUCUUGCAGUUGUUGCAAGCAAUUCAAGUUGCAGAGAAAACAGAAAAGCCGGCGAUUACAGAACUGUUCUCCGAUGUAUAUGAUGUUCCCCCAUCAAACCUUGCUGAGCAAGAGAAACAGCUGAAAGAAAUUAUCCAAAAAUAUCCACAAGACUAUCCCACUGAUGUUCCUGUAUAGAUUUCACGUGGCUACUUCAAUAAAAUGUGUAGAAUAAAGGGGGGAAAAGGAAAGAUAAAAAAUAAAACUCCUGAAAACUCCAUAUAAAUGAAAAAUGUAGCGUCAAUAAGUUUCUACAUGCCAUGUACAUUUUGAUAGUAAUAAAGCAAUCUAUACGUAAUUAUAGUAUCACUAUCGUCUUAUAUUUAUAUGCUGGCCUUGCUUAAGUUCAAUUAAGCACAUUGAAAUGUGGUAAACAAUUUUAACAAUUCAUAAAAUUCACAUUAAUCACAUGUGAACUGGUCGAGCUGGUCUAAGGUCCUGGAUUGGCCGUCCCUAUAGACCAGUUAACUUGGACCGCAAAUUUUCGCGGGAUUCAAGCAUCAACAAGGUUUAUAUAACUCAAAUUAAUGAUACACUGAGACGUGGUCUCCAAUAUCAUGUAAAAGAAAGUAAAGUUAGGAGCUGCCCAAGCAGAGGUAUAAAACAAAGAGAAGAAGGUAGUCUCUGUCAUGCAAGAGCCUCGUAAUCUACUAAUUGUCUGCAUUUGGUUUGGACGGCGCCAUUUUCAGGCAUAAAUUCACACGAUGUUGGAAUAUCCAAAAGUAUAUGUUUCUUCAUAUGCUCGAAUCUUCUUUGCUCCCUACGUACAAACAGAAACCAAUUCUUGUAAAGAAAAGAAAAUGUUAACAAACAAACAAAUAAAAGGCAUCCAUUACUCUGUCAAAUGAAAAGACGAUGGGGUAAUGAAUACCCCGUUUAUAUUUGCACUAUUUAAAACCCGUAUCCAUUACUAAAAUCUUCAAAGAAAAAAGACCUUAGAGCAGUUUCUUGAACUAAUCAUAAACUAGCUACUUGGCUGCUAUUUUAAUUAUUAAUGGAGACUCCUCCUUCGCCGUCUCAUGUUGUGAUUGCCUAUGAUGCAACUAAGGAACGUACUGAACAUGAACUUAAUCUCACCAUUAAUAGGGUGAGACUGCGGGGUGACAUUCUUCGUACCGGUGAUACGCUUGUUGUGUUUGGCGUUUUGCAUAGAGUGACUCACCCCAGUGAGUGUUUUUUUAUGGAUUGCUUUGCCCCGUGUAUGCAAACUGUUUAUGUUUGUAACGGUUGUGUGCUUAUCCGGGCCUUUAUGAUUCAAUAUCUUUACUGACUACUGGGUUUUUUUUAUUAAAGAUAGAUUUUUCAAUUAUCUUCUUUUGUUGAGAUUUAUCACAUUAUUCCUUUGAUGUGUGCCUAGCGAUUGGAUCUGUUCUGUUAUGUAGUUGCUGAUAUACAUUUUUAUGCAAUUGAAUGUUGUAUACUGGCAAGCAUUUAUUGGUCAUGGUGCUGGGAUCAAAAUAUCUAGAGCAGAAUGCUACUGUUGAUUACCAAAUUGAAUGGAUAUCUGUGUGUAUAUAUUGAUAUUUAUUCAUGCAUGACAUUAAGCAGAAAAUAAACAAACAUAAGAUAAAAUCAGAAAAUCAAUUAAAAUUCUGUGGAGCUAUGGCUAAGAUGUCUAUAGAAUGGUAGAACAAGCUAAGUAUUUUCUUAUUUAUUAAUUAUUGUGUUGUUUUGGAUUGGUGUAGUGGGUUACCAAGCAAAAGCAUGUCCUGAUGCUUUUGGGGCAAGCAUUCGUGCCAUGGAGGAAGAGGUUUUGAAGAAAGUCGAUUCAUUUUCAAGUAUGCUCCUACAAACUGCUGAGGAGUGCGAAGAUGAAGGGGUACAACAUUAACUACUAAACAGCAUCGUAUAGUAUUCAAUGGGAUGCCGAUUUAAGAGGACAUACCACACAUUUUCCACUGCUAGAAAAAAUAUUACUAAAAAUUAAUGGACAAUUACACCCAAAAACUCUCAGGUUGGGAACACACUAAUUUCUGUCAGGAUAAUACCAAGAAAACAUCGAAAUAUGACAUAUCAUCAUCAGUGAUGCAUCAAAUUUAUUAGCGAUAUGUUGCACUAGCAUCAUGACCAUUUACUUACCUUCUUCGAAAUGUACUAAUCUAUUAAGUCACAGGGGUACUGAAGGGGUUCUAUACUAUAAAGGGGCCGCCAUUUUCAGGAAAUAUAGGGGAAAAUAUUUCUUGCUUCUUGUCUGCUUCUCCAACAACACUGUAUGUUUCCAUAACAGCGUUUGAUGGCCUAAUAAAUGAUCUGCUAAAAAUGCAAAGAUCAGAAACAUAUAAUACAACUCAAGAUUAAACAACAUAAAACAAAAUUAUUCCUUUCCUGCUCUAUGAUUUCAGCAAAUAUUCACCAUGAUGCAAUGAGAUUUUCAUGUAAGUAAUCACAUGCAACUUUGUUAUUUGACUGAAUUCAUACUAGGGAAACAGAGAGUUUUUAUCUCUUACCACUAGCAAUUUUGCUCGUAAUUCUAAUUGACUUUUAUGUUUAGGUCAGCCUCGAAGUCAAGGUUACUGCUGGAACUCCUAUUAGGAAGGUCAUUUUGCAGGAGGCUGUUGCCUGUAAAGCAACUUGGAUUAUACUUGAUAGGUAAUCUUUCUGUUUUACAAACAUGGACUAGUCUCCAGCUCUAAUUAUUCUGGACAGUGGAAUUUCCGUGUUCUGACUCAGGAUCACCAUGACUCUGACUGACAUCAUUCUUUCAUAUCCCAAUAUUUUUCCACUCUAUUGAUGAUUUGUGAGGGCGGUUGGUUGUUUUACUCAUACAACAUGCUAUAACUGCCUACCGCCAGCUAGUGUAGAAUAUUGGAAGAUUUGUGAUUUUGCUUUCUUUUUUGGGCUAAUAUGUAGCAGCUAAAUUAAUUUCAUGAAUUAUCACAGGAUCAUUCUAGCAUGCGAAUGAAGCCUGAACAAUCUGCUUGCCACUUUUAUUUUUAUAUUUUCUUCCUAGAUAUCCUUGUUAGUCACUAAAUGCUGUGUGGUAGUGUCUACAGACAAAUGUUUAUGAUUCCUUUGUGCAAUCUUUGUUUCCCUUUUGUCGUUGUAUUUGCUUCAUUAGUAACUGGCAACUCCUAACAGGCACCUCAGACGGGAUCUUCAGUUUUAUCUGACACGAAUACCUUCAAAGGUUGCAUUUAUUCAAGAUAGCCUUGCUGUGCAAGUUUUGAGAACUCACGCAAUAAGUGAAACGGUUAUUACAGAGAAUAAGUUGUUUUACUCCCCGGCCAAGCCAGUUUCCCAAUCGACUUCUGAAGAUAGUGAACACAAUGAACAGUCUGUUAUCACUUGCAGAAGCUACUCUCUUAUCAGUUCCCAGGAAAUCACUGAUACCUCUAGGACUUCAUCUGCUUACAGAUCAGGGGAGCAUAGUUUUUCAUGGGAUUUUGGGUCUUCUUCUAAGAAUGAAAAGUCAGGUCAGCAAGCCUUCCCUAGUUAGCCACAUAGAUAUCUUAUAUGACAUGAUAAAAUACUGUCUCCAUUUGUUUUCUACUAAAUCCUUACAAUUGAAUCCAAGGCGAAUGACAUGUUGUUAUGACAAAGAACAAAAGUGAACAGGGUUUUAUCAUUAUAACUUAAUACAACUUUUGAGGAAACAAGAAAGGCAACUCUAGAACCCAGAAAAGAACUAAGAGACAAAAACAAAUUAUUGAUUCUGAAAUCUGAAUUAUUAUUAAAAUAUAUAUUUCUGUAAGUCAAUUAUUUCUGCGUAAGGCACAAGAGGGGGAAAAAAUGAACUACCUAGAGAGUAGAGACAGUCUUAAGAAACGAAAAUACCCAGUUGAAAUAAAAUCACGUAGUAAUCUCUAAUCAAAGGAAUUCUAAAGUUAAUAUUAGAUAAGAAAAUAAAAACCUUUAUCUCAUUAUCAUUGAAGGCAGAUUUUCGUAUUCCAGGUCUGUACGCUCGAGGAGAAAAUAAACAUUUUGCUUCUCCUCAGCUUGUCCAAAAGCAACGAAAAAAUGUCUUCCGGCAGAAAUCCUCAGUAGCGCCUAUUCUUUGUGUUGCAUGUGGGAUGAAGACUGAAUUAUAUAUGAAGGACCCUAUGAAAUUCAGUUUUUCUGAAAUUCAACAAGCAACAGGUGAUUUCUCAAAGGAGAAUUUGCUGGGAGAGGGUGGAUUUGGUCAUGUUUAUAAAGGUGAGCUUAAAGAUGGACAGAUGAUUGCGGCAAAGGUAAGGAAAGAAGCAAGUACACAAGGAUUUGCAGAGUUUCAGUCCGAGGUAUAUGUCCUAAAUUUUGCACGCCACAAGAACAUUGUGAUGCUUUUGGGUUUUUGUUGCAAGGAGAACCUUAACAUUUUGGUCUACGAGUAUAUCUGCAACAAGUCUCUUCAUUGGCAUUUAUUUGGUGAGCAAUUUUUGGUCUAAAUAAAAACCAUCACAUUUGUUGCUGGUUCUUUAGCUGCAUUUCUAGCUCUUUGUUCCAACUAUAAAAAUAAUUUCCUCUUAUUCUUCCUUUGCGCGCGCGUGUGGCGGUGCACUGUAAUUUCACAGAGAAUACAGAAUAUGUUCUUGAGUGGCACCAAAGAUAUGCUGCUGCCAUUGGAACCGCGAAAGGUUUGCGUUUUCUGCAUGAAGAAUGCCGUGGAGGUCCUAUAAUUCAUAGAGACAUGCGACCAAGCAAUAUACUUCUCACACAUGACUUUGUUCCAAUGGUAAAUUAAUGUGCAUAUAAUCUUUGAUACUCUUGUUUUCCCUUGUGAUGAUUUUGGGUCAAUCUAUACUGUUUCACAUAUAGUGAAUGCAAAUGUUUUUUAUGUAGUUCUAUGAGCUCACAUGUAAUCUCUUGUUAUUGAUAGAGUUCAUAUCAUCAACAUUAUUUGACAACAAGGGUUUAUAUUUGACAAUGACGAGAGUCUUUUGAUACUGCAGAAAGUGUGAUAUAGUGCUUAUAAUCUAUGUUAUUUUGAUGUGACAAUUGUGAUUGCUAAAAUACGUGAAUGAUGGUUGAAAAUCAACAGAGGAUCUACGAAACUAUAUUUUCUUUCAUUAUUUUGUCACUUAUUUGUACUACAAUAUGUUUGUGGUUUUUCGUCUGCAAACAAGACCAGUGCCGGGGGCAUUAUAGUUGAUAGUAUAAUGUAUUCUAUACACAGCUAGGUGACUUUGGCCUCGCCAGAUGGAAGACAACUGAUGAUCCUGUGCAGACUAAAAUACUAGGCACACUCGGGUAUAACCUCUAUCAGAUUUCUACUUCUCAGGUUUUGGCAUACUAAAAUAGGAUCUCUAUGCAUUUUAGUAAAUAGGAUUGAAUACGAAAAUUCCUUUGUGUGCAUGGUAUACACCUAAUCCAUCGAAUUGAGGACUAAAGUAGGCUUUUUUGUUCAAUUAGUUACCUUGCUCCAGAAUACGCAGAGAAUGGUAUAGUCUCCAUAAGAACAGAUGUCUAUGCAUUUGGCAUUAUUCUGUUACAACUUAUGUCAGGACGCAAGGUGGUUGAUAUGAAUGGAGAAGAACCUCAACAAUCUCUGAGACAAUGGGUAUGUCGGUUUCUGGGUAUCUCUGAUCUCUGCGUCAAUAACUGAAAAUAUUUCUGAGGAUGAAAUAAGGCCUUAUGUGUCCUUUUUUGGCUAAACAAGAGAGGCUUCUAUUUAUUGUUAUGUUCAUUUGCUGUUUUAGGCAGAACCGCUGAUUGAGAAGCUUGCAUUACAUGAGCUCAUUGAUCCUCGUAUCGAAAAUUCAUAUGACACAUACGAAUUAUACCUGAUGGCUAAAACAGCAUACUUGUGCGUGCAAAGGAAUCCUGAAGGGCGGCCAUCAAUGGGAGAGGUAAUUGGACUCAGAAUUUGAUGCUUUAGCUUCUUUCAUGGUUUGACAACAAUUUAAAAUUGGCGAAUGGAUUCUUUCAUGCUCAAGGUAGUGAAAUAAUUUACUAAAAAAAUAUUUAAUGUCAAUGAAUGAACCCAUUUGCAAGCAUGAAAAUGUAUGCGCAUAUCAGUACUAGUAUCAAUUAUAUAUAGAUAAUUUCAUGAUAAUCAAAAAAAUUGUUGAUGACUGAUUCACAAUAAUCAAGUGUCUUCUAAUUAAUUUUAAUAUACAUGCAUCACUCUGCUGCCACUUCUUUCUCAGACAUAAUAAAUUCCAACUACUCGGUUAACACCACAGGUUGUGCGUCUACUUGAGGGGGAAAAUGAUCGUUUUCACCACUUAGGGGAGAAAUUUGUACAGCGUCAUCAUACAAAAUGAUGAAGAAAAUGAUACACUUUAUCCUCUCAUCGGUGUUAGAAGUUUCUGCAUACCAUCUUUUCCCGAUUUUUCGGACAUUUCUCCUGGUUCAAUUGUUAGUCACAGGUAACUUUGCUUCUUGGUUCAAUUGUUGCUUUAUAAAAAAUACAAGGGAUAAAGUAAGAGUCUUGCUUUCUCCACUUUCGUAUAGUAAAGGUAUGCACUCACUCAUUCAAUCUAAUUUCUCAUCUAUCGCCUGGGAAUAAUUUUCCCCUACUUGUUCCGCAAUUAACUGCAUAGGCAAACUCACACGCGUUUUAGAUAUAUGUUGAAGCGCAAAGCAAUAAAAAUUAACACAAUUCUGAAUAAUGAUAUGUAUAUUGAUGAAAAUUUCACAUAUGAGGAUCUGGAUAUUUUCCCUAAUAAAAUACUAGAAAUCAAAAGAAACAGAACGCAAAAAAUAUAAGCUAAAUCUGAGUUUCCUAGAAAAAAAAAGAUAAGAAUAAUACAAGUUUCUUAAUAGAGCUAGGAAUUUGGUGAAAAUAACAUGGACCUCUUAAAGACUAUGCAACUUGAUUGUUUCACCAACAACUUCGAAAUGGUGUAUCACACGACUCAAUUCGACACCGGCAGUGCAAGUAAUGAACGGUACCAUGAAGUUGCGUACCCCUAGCACACUACAUCCUACAACAAUAUGAUGAACAAAGGUACUAAGGAAAUGAAGGAGCCUCUGUUAAAGUUGACAAAACUCAUGCAACUUGAUGAACUGGGGCAUGAGUGAUCAUUGUGAUUUGUAAUACGACGCGAGAGUUGACAAAUUAAAAACAAGUUUGAUGAUGACUGGGAGACUGUUGUAAGAGAAAGAUAUAACUUCAGAACAUGGGAUAUUGGAAGAUAUUCGCAUCCAACUUCAUAGGGAUAAGGUUCAAACAACCAUUGUGCCAUCAACAGCAACACGAAUUCUUGGUUCCACGAAGGCACUCAACAAAAAGUUGAGGUGACUGCAAACGCGACGUGUUAAGCUUUGAUUACUUUGCAGACGAUUUUCUUUUCCGAGUCGGUCUACAAUACGGUAUUACAGUCGUUGAACUUUUUUGAUUUUUUUUUUCAAAUUAUAUUCCAUGACCUUUGGGUGAUACUUCUAGAAUUUCAACAUGAAACUUGAGAAAGUGAAAUGUCCCUGACAAUAAAGCCACUAUAUUAUAGUUUUGCCUCAGAUUCCAUUCAAAGUCAUUUUAACUAACCCAUCAAAAAUUGAGGCACUAAAGGUCUAUUCAUGGCACCAGACACCAGCCUGUGUGAGGAGGAUAUAAAGACAUAUUGAAUUGGACUGAACAACAGUACACACCACACAAGUUUGAGUCUAGAGGGAAUCAUUAGGGUUUUGGCUUGCUCCACAUAUCAAAAUAAAGCAUGUUAUUCUUUUUUUUUUUUUUUUUUUUUUUGGGAGAAGAAUAAAGCAUAUUAUUCUAGAUUGAAAUGGACUUCAAUUUGGGAAGGAUAUAAUAUAAAUCCAUCUCUACAGCUAGUUAAAGUGUCCUUGUAGCAUUUUUUUUUAUUUGUCUCCGUCUUCAUAUCUGUCACACGUAGAUUGGCCAUGGUGAGUCUCACUUGCAAAUUGCAAUAAUCACCAAGAGUGCCAUUAUUACUCAUCACUAACAAAGGCCAGCGUAAGUUAUUUCAAGAUAUUCAUUAGGCUUGUUUUAGAGGAUAUUGAUAAUGAUAAUCAACAAUCAUUUUGACGAUAAAUGUUAAUUAUACCCACAGUUAAAGCACCUUCGUAAACAUUAAAUGGAGCAGUUCAGAAAAUCCUUUUUUUUUCCUUCUUUUAAUAUUGCAUUACAUAAUACAUAUCCAGUGAUAUUACAAUUAUAAAUCACUCGAGACUAUUGAUGACGAGUUUAAAAAUUUGAGUAGCUUCAAAAUUGGAGAAAUUUUCUUCAAACAAAUUGGGGAGAAAUCUAACCCCUCCUUUGAGGGGCUUAAACCUCGUAAUACAAUGUUGAAAAUAAGUCGUAAAAGGGGGAGAUUCUUCUGCUACUCUUAUAUACUUAACGUAUGUCCAUUGUUUAGUUGAAAGAAGUUAAUAAACUAUCUCAAGCUCAUUUUUGCCAACGAUGUGAACUAUGAUAGAGAAUAAGGAGUAAAUAAAGUAUAAAAGAGACAACAUCUACUUAAUUGUUAAAUCGAUACUAGCACAAUUGAUGAUUAAAACCUCUAGGAAAGCAAGGCAACAACUUUAAUUUUAAUUAGUAAUUACUUAAGCCAAGGUUCUUAAUUAUAGCAUUGCUGCUUAAGCAAAAGUUGACCAACAUUAAUAUCACCUUGUCCCAUUCUUGAUCACUUCGCAACUUCUUUUGUUCACUUCACUCAGUGUGUCUUUUCUUUUGUUAAGCUUAUAAUUUUACCUCUUUAGGCGUUACGUACUAACAUCUUUUUGGUUGCUUGCUUGCAUUAUGCUUACUUUGAAACUAGCAAAGCAGCACUGAGGGAGAGAGUUAAGUGGAUCAAAAAGAACCCCAACCAUUGGGGAACAAACAACGAUCAACGCGUCACAUAAUUGCAGCAUUACACAUAAAAAAUGAAAAAAGGUGUAUAAUUGAUCCCCACAGUUGCUAAGGCAACCAUAUGCAUGCAUCAUGUCUAGAGCUGACAAAAGUUCAUACGACUUUGAGAGUGUUAAAAAGUACAAUCACUUACAUCGCGUCUCAAAAAAUAUUUGAAAUUAGUUUAAGUUAUUAAGUAUAAACUAAAAAAGAUUUGGACUUAAAUUGAGACAUAAAAAUAAGAAUAGUAUUGUCGUGCUAUACAGAAGAUAGAUGAUUACUUAUGUAACUCAAGAUAAAUUUAACAGUUAUGACAACAAAAUUAAACAAAUAAAUAAUACUUGAUUACUAACAAAAUCACGUGCCAUAAGGAUAAAAAUGACAAAACAAUUGCACACCUAAUGAUUCAAAAUUAAAGGAAAAAAAAAAAGGACGGUGAGGAUUUAGGUCUAAAACAAUAUCUUCCACUAGCACGGCACUCUUCUGUUUAUAAAUAGUAGCUAAAAGGAUAGAGAAAAAAAGACUUUUGGCUAGUUUCUUUCUAGAUCUAAAAGAAAUCAAAAGCAUUAUUCCAAGUUCUACUUCAAACUAUCUAACUUGAGCUUUGAAAAGCCCAUUUUAGGUACGGUUGGACCUCGCUUGGUAGUUUGAAGCGUUGAGCUAUAACGCUUUGUUCAAACUCUAGAAAUUAAUUUAAUUCUAGUUAUUGAAGGGUUUUAAUUAGCACCUUCAUACUCAUCAACACGACAGACAUGAACCCCACAUUAUAAAAACAAUUGUUGGGUCAACCUUAUCAAGUCGGAUUGUUAAUGCAUUGACCUACUAAAACUAGUCGGGUUCAAUUUUAAGAUCAAAAACCCAUUUCACCCGUUAACAUUAAAUAUUAAUAAUUUAAUAAAUUUUAUAACUUAAAUUUUAAAUAUUUGAUAAAUUGACUGCUUAUAUAAAGUUAUGACAAAUGCUAAAAUUCUUAAGUAUUUAUUAUAAAAUUUGUAGCCACUAUUGUACAUUUGCAUUUUCUCUUGUAAUGUAGUUCUAUUUCUAUAAUUUUUUUUUGUCUUAAAAAUUUAAUCAAUAUUGGUGCCUAUAACUAAAGAGUUUAUUUUUUUGUACAUUAUUUGAUGAUGUUAAAUAUAAAUAAUAUUAAUUUUUUCUUUUGUUUAGUAUAAUAUUCUUAAAGAGCUUUGUUUGCUUUAAAUUUAAAAAUACAAUAUUAAAAAUAAUGGGUUAAAUGAGUUGAUUUGGAUAACACAAUAAUAACAAAGAAUAGGUUUGAGUUCUCAUUUUUUUAUCUAAUAAAUUAAUAGGUGGAUUUGAGCACGUAUAAUUUAAUACGAAAAUUGAUUAAACACGAAUCAUGUCAACUAAUAGGAACUGUGAAUCUAAAUAUUUUAAAUUUCAAUUUUAUGAGGACUUUCGGUUUAUUUUGAGGGUGGUCAUUUUUUAUACAAGUUCUCACAAAAACAUUUUUACAUUUUUCUGUAGGAUUAACUUAUACCAAAGUCGUCAAUAAUCAAGAAUAUGCGAAAUGUCCCACGUGAAGUUCUUUUGAUCACGUGUUUAAUUUCGAUUUUCGUAAUUUCUGAUAAUUAAUUGAUUAGUAAUCAAUACGUGUUUGUUUGCGUUAGGCGGGGGGGCAGAUUGGAGACUGACAAGACAAGAAAGUGGGGGAAUCCAAUUGAAGAUUAUGUCGCACUCGGGAUCCAAUGGUUUCAGAUCAUGGGGCCCCCAGAAAGGUGUAGUGGACGGCUAAGAUUCAUUUUCAAAUUAAUCUGUGAUACGGAAUCUUUAGCUACAUUGCAACUUGGCUUGUGUGCGGUGGCAGACUUACUUGGUCCAACAAAUUUCAUUAAAACCCUUAAUUUUUAUAUAAAUAUAGAGUUUUUACUUUUCUCUUAGAUAUGUCUCAAAAUCAAUCUCUACAUAAAUAACUGAAAUGUACUAUUUUAAAUUUAAGUUACUCUUGCAUUGACGCACCUUUAAAAUUGCAUAAAAAGAGUAAUUUAUCAUUUUAAGAAAUUUAUUUUAUUAAAUACAUGUUGUUGACGCAUAAAUCUGGUCGAUAGUGUUGCAAUCAGGUAUUCACGCCAACACUAAAUUUGUAUUAAUGGGAAUGACAUCAACUUGCACUUCCUUUGCACGAGAUGAUACUUGCAACCACGAGCACCUCCUACAAAACUCACCUGCACCCACAAAGAACAUUUAGGGGGAUGCCAAAUGUUUUUUGGACAGGAACUCUUUGACGCUUAAGUCAAUAAUCGAGCAUUUUUUGAAAAAAAAUUGUGCCCACAAUUCAUGUGGCUUAAUUAUAAUAAUUGUUUCUUCUUUAAACAACAAAGCUUUUAGGUGGAAACUAGAGAAAACUGAGAAAAUUUUAGAGAGAAAAGGGAAAUUAGUGGUAGAGAGAGAGGAAAAAAAAAACUUACCUGGUUUGAAUUUUGUAAGGGUUUUUAUAGAACUUGAAAACCCACGACUUUGGACUAAGGAAAUAGCCGUUAAUGGUUUGGGAUCGUGCCCUGAUUUUUCCAAGUAAAUCCACGAGUUGACUCUUGACCGACUCUCUGAAUUGACUUGGUUUAAGUCUCUUCCUACAUGAUUCUUACGCAAUCACAUUUACCAACCAAGCUGCCCACUUCUUGAUACCCCAAGCAAAUUGUUUGCAUCCACACCCUGAGGAGGCUCUCGGCCGUUUCUAAUGUCGAGGAGAGCAUGAUUUGCCCGGAAUCGUGUCCAAUAAUGCUCCCUCUUUCAUCCCUCAAACACAUGUAUUUUGUUUAGAGCGACAUUCUUGAUAUUGCAUUAGUUUUAUAUAUGCAUUCAGAGAAACGCAUAUAAUAAAUUUAUAAUUUAACUGGUCUGAUCAAUGAUCUUGGAAUACCCCCUGCUCAUGUACAAUUUGCAUAUUCUCUAGUUAACCCACUUCCACUUGUUAUCUGUCUCUGUCUCACUUUGGCAGAUUUGGCUCUCUUUUUUAAUUGGCUUUGUUGAUUAGUUAGUAGUCACACGAUGCAACAAGUAUUAGUCACAUCUAUUAAUGCAAGUUUGUAAGAACAUGCAUGGUUCCUUUACGUAUUUGACAUAAUAUUGUUUGUGACGAAUCACGGAAAUUGUGAAAAGUUCGAUUACGCUGCACAGAAACGGUUCUUACUCGGUACCAUCAAAGUUCAAGCCACGUGAAGCAGCUAUCCUGUUGGCCUUCUAUGAAGAAAUGGGCAAAUUUGUGAUCAUGAACAAGCUUAAGCUUUGAAAACAGUAUUUUGAACUUUUAUUUGUUUAUUAAUGAUUAAUAAUUAACUUUAAUUGAUUCCUACCUAAGAAGAAUCUACUACCAAGCCCACUCGUUAACAUGAACUUUUUUUUAUAUAUAUUAAAAACAAAAAGGGAAGGAAAGAGAGUAUCAAGCUGUUAGUUUCUACGUACAUAGAUGAUAUUCCAACGGACCUUUCUUUGUUGCAGCUGAGUAAUGAGCACAUUAUCAAUUUUUUUCCCUUUAAUUUGUUAUGAAAUUUAUAGUAGGCAAGCAUCAUUCAAUAAUCGAUAUUGGCUCACAAAUCAUUAAGAUAGCAUUGCAGCAAUCAAUCUAAAGCUAACUGCAAACGGAACUCAACCGAGAUUGAAAUUUUCAUAAACUAAAUAGAAAAAAGCAUCAACCGUUGCUACAUAAUUAAACACAACUUAGAAAAAUUCGAGCAUGUGAUCCCGAUUCUUUGAAAAGACAAAAGCAAACUUUAGAAACAUAUGAAAUUUUGAAAAUCCCUUUUGACUCUCAACUUUUUAUUGAAUCACUAUAUUAGAAUUUGAUUCCAUUUCUCUUGGUUACAAUUAACAUGCAAAAUUUUGAUUCAUUAACAACAACGGAUUCACAUAAAAGAUAGAGAAUAAUUAUCUUAUUGUUGUGGAUUAUGAUAUUUGAGAAAUGGGCGGUUGAUUGUAUAUCAAUAUUUAAAAGUUUAUGUUAUAUUAAUAUAAGUUAUCAUAGAAAGGACGUCAAGUGAAAAAAAAGAAAGAAAGUAGAGAUUCGUUUGUUUUGUUUUUGUUUCUUUAUAUAAAUAUAUCUAUAGAUUUUUUUUUUCAGACCCUACGUACCAUUUUUGUAAACAAUUCCUUAACGAUAAAAUACCCAAAAAUUUGAAGCCACAUUUGCCUGCUAAUUAAGGACAAACAACUGAUCAUAGACCAUCCCAUCAAAUACCAUAUUUUAAUUUUAUCAUGAUAAUGUAUCAACGGUGGAGGUUGGCCCAGCAGGGAGACAUUAUCCAUGGUACCGAUACUCAAAAGCCAAAUAAGGGUAUCUUCGUCAUUCUGUUGAUUCACUUGUACUUUUUUGUAAAUUGGACACAAAAUAAUGCAACGAAGAACAACUGUGCUUUGUGUGUCUGUGCCAGCAAUUAAAAACGAUCGGACACAAGUGUCACGCGCGUUAAUACGAUCGUGUUCCUAAAUUCCUGUCAUUUUGCGAGUUGCGACAGGAUCUCCACUUGCUAGACCGCAAUACUACCACUGCACGACAACACAAGCACUCGUAGAUAAGGCCGUGGUUUCACGCGCACAAUCGAUUAAUGAGACAAACUGUUGUUAUUACACGGAUUGCAAGAGGCAGAUGUUCGCGUGCCGCGUCAUUUCUAAGUAAUCAUUUUUCUAUUUCAAUUAAAAUAUAUGGCGCAAUAACGUUGGGCUCCCUUAAUUUUAGUAAAAUAACUAUCAAGGAUACAAUUCACAAAAUAUUUUAAAAAUCCCUGCAGUGUCCAUGAUGAAUUACAUAAUUUGACUGUUAUAUCCCUGAACUUAACUUAUUUAAAAAUAUUUCUUUUUCUAGUUUUUUUAAGGAUGAAUUAUUCAAUUAUUACAAGCCACUUUUUGGUUAAGUAGUGCACACUUUUUUUUUUCUUUAU
RNAcentral lists this long non-coding RNA (51379 nucleotides) under Citrus x clementina. Its description in RNAcentral is "Citrus clementina (C. clementina) long non-coding RNA (CCLE_LNC003068)". Lineage: Eukaryota; Viridiplantae; Streptophyta; Magnoliopsida; Sapindales; Rutaceae. The record is from RNAcentral.